RNAcentral lists this long non-coding RNA (84204 nucleotides) under Nicotiana tabacum (common tobacco). Its description in RNAcentral is "long non-coding RNA (NTAB_LNC002565)". The stretch from base 4142 to 4625 matches the Rfam family "Bacterial small subunit ribosomal RNA", at positions 936 to 1226 of the family's 1533-position model. The record is from RNAcentral. Lineage: Eukaryota; Viridiplantae; Streptophyta; Magnoliopsida; Solanales; Solanaceae.
UUUUUUUUUUUUGUUGGGGUGUGGAGAGUUGUAAAACUUAAAAAGUCAAAAAAGAAAAAAAUAAUGAAAGGAUGAAAAAGAAUUAAGGGUGCAUUAUCAUAAUAUGCAGACAAAAAGGGAAAAAGACUUAGCAUUUGAUCUAUUUUUGUGAGAACAAUAUGCAAAGUAUAUGAAGUAAUAUAUUACUCUACUACCAUAUACAGCAAAUGCUUGGGCAAAGAUGAAAACUUUUUCCCAAAAAACAAAUAUCCCAAUUGUAAAGAUCCAAUCUUUAUCUUCUUACCUUAUUUAAUAAGCAACAAAAAAACAAUUAAACAAUUGCAACUCAAUUACAAACUUUCCCAACAUUGUAUUUCACCAUAACAGUUACAGUAAUGAUCCUUCAUAUAAAACAAAAUAAAAUAAAGAAAAAAAAGGAAAAGAAAACCUUGCCAUUAAAGGGUGAAAUAUGAAGUUUAUGUUAAAUUGUUUCCAAAUUUAUAUAGGAUCUUUUUUUUCUUUUGGAACUGACACCAUAAUAUCGUAUCUGCACUUUGGCAUGCUCAGAAUAACAUAUGUAUUACUACCAUAUACAGCAAAGUUUUGGCAAAGAUGAAUACUUUUGCCACAAAAAAGAAUAUCCCAUGUAUAAAAAUCCAAUCUUUGUCGUCCAACCUUAUUUAAGAAUCAACAAAAAUAUAAAAAAUUACAAGUCAAGAUUACAAACAUUAGCAGCAUUAUAUUUCAAGCACAACAAUUACAUUAAUGAUACUCAAUUAAAAAAAAAUAAAGAAAAAAACUUGUUACUUAAAAAGUUUAAGCUAAAUUUUUUCAAAUUUAUAUUAGGGUAUAUUUUUUUAAUAGACUAAACAAGUAAACAGGGUCACAUAAAGUUGAGACGGGCUAAAUGGGCUGAGUACCUUAUUAGUCAAGAGGCAGUGUUACUAAGGGUAAAAUGGGCAAUUUAUGUUAGAUUAUUUCCAAAUUUAUAAAGAGUCAUUAUAUUUUUUUUAACGAUUAAAAACGAAAUAGGGUAACAUGAACUGAAAAAAAAAAAAAAACUACGAAGUUUAUGUUAAAUUAUUGACUACUUUUCUUAUUGAAAUGGACUAAAAAAUAAAAAGCGAGUACCUUGAUCGAGAGACGGUGACAAAGAGGAAGGACCUUCAGUCACAGACAAGGAAAUUCCGGCAUCAAAAUCCAUUAUGAUGAUGAUCAGAAGCAGCCCAUCACCGGAAUUUCCAUUAAUUCUGAGCACACAAAACACAAAAAACACACCCUCUCUUCUGUUUGAUGAAAUGCACAAAAGAAACAAACUUCAAACAGAGAGAGAGGAAAAAAGGGGGAAUUCAGACAAAAGUAAAAGAGGGAACAGAGAGAAAGAGAAGGAACGUUUUUUCCUCUCCACACAAAAACAGAAGAGAGAAAAAGAAAGAACAAAUAUGAACCAAUCAACCAUUUGGGGGAAAAAAUAUAGAAUCGACCAACCAAAUAUUUACACGCAAAAUUUGCUUUUGACAAAGUACCUCUCUUUAGUACCUUAGUACUAUUAGCAUUAUUAUUAUUUUUUAAUUAUUUGUUUUAAUAUUCCUAAGUUUUUAAGUUGACUUAACACAUGUGUUCUUCUCUUUGUUUUCUUAAUAUUUCCUCAAUUCUUUAUGUGCUAAAUGCUAAUUCUAUUGUUAGUAUAUUUAUUUGGAUUUCUUCCCUUGAGACCUAAUUACUCUUUUAACCUCGUAUUAGAUUUUAAAAAAAAUAAUUUCGUUCAGAAUUACUUUGUAAGAUCUUUUAUGUUUUAUUUGGUGUUCUUCAGUAUUAUAUUUUAUUAAUAUCCCGUAAAAAUAAUUAUAUAAUAACAAAAAUAAUAUCUAUAAUUGACCAUAAAGCUGAUCUUCAUUUUUUCUAUCAGUUAGUUUAAUACUUUAAAUACUUUAAUUUACCCGAUUAAAACAAAUAAUGCUAAGCUAAUAUAAAAAAGAAAGAGAAACAGAGAGAAAAUCUAUUUUUAUUCCUUAAUUUUGACAAAAGAUAUAAACGUAAAGUGAUGUUUCUUUUCUGUUCAUAUUUGUUUGUUUCACUUGUUGCAAUCAAAAAGAGAAUGAACGAUAAUCUCUCUCCCUUUUCCAAUUUUUUUUCUUACGAUAUUUACAAGAGACAUUCUCCUUGGCAUUAACGUGUAAAAAAAUGUUUAGUAAAGCCUUGGUUAUUUCCUGACAUUAAAAUGUUUGAUCUGAAUACUACGAAAUAUUUAAUUACUACAAAAUAUUGUUCUAAAUUUAAAGAUUUGAUAAUUAAAAACAUUUAUAUUCUUAAAAGUGUAUAAUUUAUUUAUUAAAACCUAAUAGAUAUAAAUUUUAAAUAAAAUUAUAAUCAAUUCUUAUAUCCAGAAAAAAAAAACUUGAGAAAAAUACUACAUAUUUUUUCAUGUGAAUGUAGAAUGCCUUUGUGUGAUAAAAUACUCCAAAAGUUAUCGACGGUGACAACGGAUAGUCAUGGUAGUCAGGGGCGGAUAAAGUCUAUACUCGACGGGUUCAAUUGAAUCCAUAACUUUAAAAACAUAAUGAGUUCAAUGCUAAAAAUUUUAAAAAUUGAACUCAUACAGUUUAAAAUCCCAAAUCCGCCUAUGGUGAUAAUAGUAGGUGGUGAUGGUCUGCGAAGUGGUAAAUGGUGGGGGUUGAUUGUUUGUUAAUUGUUGGAGGGAGACAACCAUAGUAGUUGUACAAUAACAGCCAGAUAUAAUAUAUGUGUGGUGGUGAAUGGUAGUAGAUGUAAUUGUGAAUGAUGGUUUUGUACGAUGAACGACGUAUGGCGCGCGGUGGAAGGUGGCAACUGGUGAUGAAGGUGGCUAGUGAUGGUGGGGUUGUCUGUAGAGCUGAUUGAUGGUGGUCGCUGGUGAUGAAUGUGAUUACAAAUGGUGGCUGCACAACAAUAACUAGCAGUGAAAGUACUUGGUACAGAAGAUUAGUGAUCGCCGAGUGCUAUGCCGUUGAGGCUAGAAAUAAUUGCAAUAGAUAAAGUAUUGAUAAAAUGUCACAUUCACAUAAAUCUUUAAGUCAAUGACAUUUUAAUCUAUUUAAAACUUUGUAGAAACUCAAAAUAAUCAAAGUUAUUCAUAGCAAAUACAUGAUUGUAAAAGAAAAAAUUUACAUAAUAACAAACUUAAUAAUCUUAAAUUAGAGAGAUUCAAAUUCAAACCUCAACCAAGCAAAACAACCGUAGCUAACCGUUGUUUAUGGUUGUAUACAGGGACUUAUUCAAGUUAUACUAUAUUUAUGGCCCCAUUAUCCCAUAUUUUUUGCCAUAGACUUUGAUUGUUAUAAUGGGAUAUAUGACCUACAAUAUUGUUCUUUAUUUUAUUUAGAAAACUAUUUGACAAUGACAUAUUAUAUUAUGAAAUUAUUCCCUGUUGCUGGGUAUAUUAGUUUGGGAAUCAAUUUCAUCAAGUAACGGUAGAUAGUAGCUGAUAUAUUAAAAAAUGAUAAAAGUUAAUAAUUUAGCAACUAAAAUAGGUGUUUGAUCACCGAAAAUUUAAAAAAAUUUAGCGACCUUUUCAAUGCUGCAUAAAUAGUUGAGAAUUGUGAAAAUAAACUCUCAGAAGUGAUUUGCAAUUAAUACAUGGGACAAAGGCCUCUUCGUAACGGUUGACUUUUGAGACAUCAGCCAACUACAGAUUGAAUUUGGACUUUGGACAAAAAAGGUCAUUUUUAAAGACUGAAAUGAAUGUGACCAAAUUCAUUGUUUCAAACUAUUACUAAAGCAUUAUGAGUGUGUUAAGUAUGACAGAAAGUCAUAAAAAAUAUUGUACAAAAAAAAAUAUGCUCAUACAUUAAAGACUAAUAAUAAUAAUAAUAAUAAUAAUAAUAAUAAUAAUAAAGGAAUAUAAAAAAUGAUGGAUUUUAUUGAUUAGACUCAUUCCGCAACUUCGGGAGAAAGUUCUAUAAUUCCACUAAAAAUAGAUAGCACGGAAUUUUUUUUUUCUUUUGAUUCCCCUUUGUUGGAGUUAUUGCUCCUUUGGUGACUCGAACCCACGAGGCCCUGAGGUUAUAUGAGGGGGGUGCUGACCAUCUGAACAAACUCCUCUUGUCGAUAGAAGGGAGAAUGUUGCUUUAGAAAAGAUACAAUAGUUUUCGACUUUCCCAUAAUUGACUUCUAAGCUCGGUGGAGCAUGUGAUUUAAUUUGAUGCAAAGCGAAGAACCUUACUUGGACUUGACAUGUCGUGAAUCCUCUUGAAAGAGAGGGGUGCCUUCGGGAACACAGACACAGGUGGUGCAUGGCCAUAGGCAGAUAUAAUGUAUCAGCACUGGAUUUAACUAAAUCCGAUACUUUUGGUGCGGAGUACAAAUUCAUGUACAAAAAUUCAUUAAUAUUACAAUAUAUAACAAUAUGAACCCAUAACUUUAAAAUACAAUGGAUUCAAUGCUAAAAACCUUAAACAUUGAACCUAUCAAACUUAAAUUCUAGAUCCGCCUCUGUGUAUGGCUGUCGUCAGCUCAAAGGUGUUCGGUGAAGUCUCUCAACGAGCGCACUCGUGUUAGUUACCAUCGUUUAGUUUGAAACCCUGAAUAAACUGUCCAUGAUAAACCGUAGGAAAGUGAGGAUGACGAAAAGUUAUCAUGCCCUUUAUACCCUAAGCGACACAUGUGUUGUUAGUAAUCUAUGAUCAAAAUCAGAAAAUCAGAGAAGUAAAGAAAUGUCAGUUCAAUAAAACAAAAUAUAAAAUAAUUUUCGAGCCCACAAGUUGUUUGUGUGUCCUUCAGAAAUUUAAUCUCCUCACUAUUGCCCAAGGUUAUGGAUUACUUCCUCCUAGGAUAGAACGAAAAAACUAUUCUGUAAUAUUGGUAGUCAAAAUUACAGAAUUUCAGUAAACUCAACAAACGGAGCAAAUUACACUUGACACUUUAUUUAUUUGGAAAAACAAUGCAAUAAUGUAGAAAAGAUGGGAGAAGUUUUCAGAUUUUUUAUUUUCUGAAAAAUGAGGCUAAGCCUCUAAACUUAUAGACAAUGAAAGAGUGAGAUGAAGACGUUCAAUUUAAAAGGUGCCUCUUCCAUUUUCCAUUCACGAAACCUAUCAAUCCACCACAUGAAUGGGGAUGGAAAUAUGUUUAAGAAACAUGAAAAAACUUGUGUGAUUCGCAGGUAAGGAUUAAUAGCAUCUGCAUAAGUAGGUUUCCCUUUGAACUUUCCGUAAUGAACAUGUGUCAGAUAUACUCAGUCAAUCAGUAGAUUUGAUAUCUUUGAACCGUCAAGCUUUGGUGUAUACCUAGACAACCAUAAGCCACACAAUCAGCCCUUAACCGUUUUUGGUUCUUAUUGUUGUGUUUGUUUCAGUGAUGAACACCGCCUGGUUUCAUAAAUGCAUAGAGAAUUGGCCUUACAGAACUCUCUUUGAAGCGGCUAAUACUUCACACUUGCAUAGGUGAUUCCUAAACAUGUUAUGUCGUAGAUACACUAUUUGAUAUACCCCGUAUCAAACUUAGAAACCAUUAAAAAGUCUUAACGCUUUAUCCUUGAUACUGAACAUUGUCUCAUCGCAAGAAUGGACCAAAAAGAAAUUUUAUUAGACAAUGUUGAACCAUCAUUAAUGACUUUGUUUGAGCUCCUUAAACCUAGAUUUUCAUAUCUCCAGUCUUCUAGGAAGAGUUAUCUCCACAAUGACUUGUCCUCGGUCAUAGUCCCAUUUCCCUCGAUGAUCUUUUAACUACCUCUCUAAAUAGUCCUUUUUUUAAUAGAUCCGACUGUCACGACCCGAAAUUCCAACCUCGGGGUCAUGAUGGCGCCUAACAUCUACUUACAAGGCAAGCCGACGUGAACAAAAAAUUAACUAAGUUAAGCAAUUUGAUGACAAGAUAAUAACGAUGAAAAUGGUACAAGUCUGAGGCAUAGUAUGAUAAUACUGAAUAACGAGUCUAAACAUAACCCAAAAAUUGGUGUCACGAGUACAUGAACAUCUAGAUUACUACAAACGUGGUCGGAAUAAAAUACACUAUUUUGAACUCAGAAAAGUAGUAAAUAUAGGAGGGAAGGGGACUUCAUGGCUGCAAACGUUGUGCAGCUGUACCUCAAGUCUCUGUCACGAACUGGACCCGAGCAAAUCUACUGAACCCCGCUAGGACCCACUCCGAAAUCUGCACAAGAAGUGCAGCGUGUAGUAUGACCAACCCCAUGUACUCUAUAAGUGUCGAGCCUAAUCUCGACGAGGAAGUGACAAGGCUAAGUCGGGCCACUUAAAAUAACAUGUAUGCAAUAUAAUACUAAUAACAAGAAAGGAAGACAGGAAAUAAAAGUAAGGCAAUUAAUUUAUGAAAAAGAACUCAAUCCUCACAGUCGGCAAACCCAGAAUAACCGAUCACAUAAUUUCAUGUAAAAAUGUUGAAACCAACACAAUAACAACAACGAAAUCAACAUACACAAUCUGUUGCGGCGCGCAACCCGAUCCCACCGUACACAUUCAAUCCUCCCUUAUUUCACCAUAACAUCGUUUAUCAAUAUCAAGAUUCAUAUAUACAAUUCGUUGCAGCUUGCAACCCGAUCCCACCAUAUCAUCAUAAUCAAUGUCAUAAUCCUCCCUUAUUUCAUCAUGUCACAAUUUAUCAAUAUCAAGUAUUACGUACACAACCGUUGUGGCGCCCAACCCGAUCCCGCCAUAUCAUUACAAUCAAUAUCAAAACUCUCCCUUAUUCCACCAUAUCAUAACCGUUGCGGCAUGCAACCCGAUCCAUAAAUAAUUUUAAUAAAUGUAAUCAAUCCAAUAGCUCAAUUUACAAGAAUCUCUAUGAUUAAGGAAUAUGAAAGCAAAGCAAUAAAGGAACAAUGUACUAAUCAAAGGAAUGCUACAAAUAAUACAAUAGCAACAAGACAAGUCAAGUACGUGACAAUUAAGGUAUGCAAGUAAGACAAUUAAGGCAAGUAUCAAUUAAUCACAGAGUCAUGGAAGGAACGAACAAUUCAAUACAAGAAUGAUUAAUGACAAGUAACAAAUUAUGGCAUAAAAAUUAAUUAAGGUAUGUAACAGUUAAGGCAUAGAGUGAGAUAAUUCAUGAAAUACGAGAAAGACAUGGAAACAAUCAUUUCAUGGGCGUAUAUACACUUGUCACCUCGCAUAUACGUCGUUCACACGUAAUUCACAUAACAUAUAGUUCAAGGUUUCCUAACUUCCUCAAAUCAAGGUUAGACCCAAUACUUACCUCGCUCCGCAAUCAAAUCAAAGCUCAACCUGGGACUUCCCUCUAAAAUUCUCCUCCAAACCAAUCGAAUAUAACCAAAAUUAACUCAAUAUUAUCAAACAAUGCUAGGGAAAUCAAUUAUAAUAGAUAAAGCAAAGAUCUUUAAACUUUUCCUAAAAAGUCAAUAAAAGUGAACUCCGAUCCUGCUUGGUCAAAAACCCGUGAUUCAUACCAAAACCCAGUUAUCCAUUCAUCCUGAGCCCGAUUAUGUGAUUAGUUUCGAAAUUUGACCUCAAUUUGAGGUCUAAAUCUUAAUUUUUACUAAAAUUCCCAAUUUUAUCCAAAUCCCUAAUUUCUAACUUGAAAGAGCAUAAAUUAAAGGUUAGAAAUCAAUGGGUAUUGAUGGAAAUGGAAGAAAAUAAGUUAAAACCUACUAACCUAUGAAGUUGGGAUGAAAUUUCUCUUCAAAAUCGCCUCUAGGCCGAGCUCUAAUGUGAAGAUGGUGAAAAAUGAAGAAAAUCCCGAUUUUGGGAUAUUUAAAAUCACUGGCGUCAGGUCUUCAUCGCGUUCGCGAAGAACCUGAUUCGGUCACGAAGCACUGUAGCUAGGGCUACUUAUCGGGCAGAUCGGACGGUUAUUUACUCUUUAACGGUUCGGUUUAUCGGUUAUCGGCUUUUAAAUGUAUUAAUCUGCUAGUCACCUUGUCACGACCCAAAAUUCCCACCUUUGGGGCCGUGACGGCGCCUAACAUUUCGCUUGCUAGGCAAGCCAACGUUAGAAUAAUAUUCGCCAUUUUUAAAUAAUUUUAAAUUAAUUAAUAACAAAGAAAAAAAUGCGAAAAUAAAGUGAAUAAUCCAUAAUAUUAGCGAUGUCUAAAUACCAUCCCAGAACUGGUGUCACACGUGCACGAGCUACUAGAAUGAUACAAAUAGAGGUCUGAAUGAAAAUGAAGAUGUCUGAAAGAAAUACACACCUACGAUAAAGUGGAAGGGGAUUUCAGAACUGCGAACGCCAUGCAGUCAUACCUCAAGUCCCCUGCGAAUAGCUGAAUCCGAGCAAAUCUACUGUACGCCGCUGGGACCAACUCUGGUAUCUGCACAAGAAGUGCAGAGCGUGGUAUGAGUACAACCGACCCCAUAUACUCUGUAAGUGCCGAGCCUAACCUCAACUAAGUAAUAACGAGGCUAAGGCAGGCCAUUUACAUUAACCUGUACGCAUUAAUAAUAAUAAUAAUAAUAAUAAUAAUAAUAAUAAUAAUAAUAAUAAUNNNNNNNNNNNNNNNNNNNNNNNNNAUCACUUAUAAUAUGCCUCGUACACUUAUUAUCAUAUCCAAUUGAUAUCCAUCAUAUUAAUAGUCCUCAAAUGAGAAGUAGAGUCCGCCCCCAAAUACAUAACAUAACUUAUCUCGUCUUUCACCCAUUUUAAUUUCUCGAAUUUUUACUAACUCCCAAAAUUUUCAAAAAUUUUGCCAGAGUUUCCUUUGUAGCUGGGCCUAUCCACCUGUCAGAGAAUCCCAGAAACCAAUCCUAAUAACACAUACAUAAUCUAAUAAACGUAACACAACAUGGAAACGAUACUAACAAUGGCCUCAUAAACAAUAUAUUACUAGAAAAGGAAUGCCAUUAACAUCAACUAUUCAGGUGAUACGUAACUCAUAGCAGGUAAGCUCUCAACAUCAUCAUAUAACACAGAAUUGAACGUUUAAAUUAAAGAUGAUAUUUUUAGGUCAUCACACACCCGAUAAGAUAUCAGGUAGAUUGGUAUUGGUUUAGCUAUUAUCGGGCGGUUUAUCGUCCUAAUUGAUUCUGUAUUACAGAGGCCUAUUUUGGUUCCUCGUAUUAUACUGUUACUAGUAAAUACCAGCAAACGCCAGUUUAGUUUGCAUGUAUUCCCACUAUUUUUCGUUGUUACCUUCAAUGGUCGUAAAACACAAGCCAUUGCUUGUUACUAUAUUCUUUUGGUCAACAAUUUGGUCCAUCUGGUGGCAUUAGGAUCAUAUUUACCUAUAUAUUUAUAACAUGCAAAGAAGGAGAUUGUUGGCAUGUUAUAAGUUUGAGCAACGGAACAAAAUGGAAAUUCUUCAACAGUGGAUAUAUAUUCCUAACCGGUUAACGGUUUAUCCGAUAAAAAAAUUGAAUAGUCCUCUCCCAAAUCGAUAAGCCGUUAAUAAUAAAAUUUCGAUAUGUUCCUCAUCCGUUAAACCAAUAACCCAAUACCAAUAAGCCACUUUUGUGGUUCGGUUUUCAGUUUUGAACACCCCUAACUGCGGCCCAAUUGGCCUUCGUGUUCGCGAGAUGUUAUUCGUGCUCUCGAUGGAUAUCCCCCUGGCCAUCGCAUUCACGACCCUUUGAUCGUGUUCGCGAAGAACACCCAGCUGCUCCCCUCCCAGACCCCUUACUCAUCGCGUUCACGAGUGAAGAGCCGCAUUCGCGGAGGGUUACCCCUCCAAUGCUCCGCGUUCGCGGGCCCUCCUCCAGGCUCGCAAAGAAGAAAUCCUCCCCAGUCCCCAGUUACCCUUUGCGAUCACGAGAGUAGUUUCGUGAUCGCGAAGAAGAAUACACCAGAUAUCAGCAGUUGUGAAAACCAGCAAUCCUUCAAGUUUGAAAAUGGUCUGUAUCCUAUCCAAAACUCUCGGGAGACCCUUGAUCUCCAAAACAAACAUGCACACAAGUGUAAUAAUAUCAAUAAGAACUCGCUCGCACGAUCAAAAUAUCAAAAUAACACCUAGAACCACGAACCGUACAUCGAAAAUGUAUUAAAUUUUCAAUGAAACUUAAGGGCUUUCAAGUUUACAACCGGACAUCCGAAUCACGUCAAAUCAAUUCCGUUUUGCAUCAAAUUUUACAGACAAGUCAUAAAUAGUGGAAAAAACCUAUACCAAGUUCCGAAACUGAAAUACGAACCUCGGUAGCAACAAAGUCAACCUACGAUCAAACUUAGGAAUUCUUUAAACCUUCAAAUUACUAGUUUUCAACAAUUCACAUUAAAUCAAGUUAGGGACUUCCGAAUUCGAUUCAAGUCCAAAAUCACGAUACGGGCCCACUGGAUCGUCAAAAUACUGAUCCGGGUCUGUUUACACAAAAUGUUGACAGUAGUCAACUUAAAUCAUUUUAAGGCCAAAUUUCAUAUUUUCUUCAAUUUUUCACAUUAAAAUUUUCCGGAAGAGACACGGAAUGCGCACGCAAAUUGAGUAAUGCCAAACGGGGCUAUUCGACGUCUCAAAACACAUAAAUGUAGGCUAAAACUCAAAAUGACCUAUCGGAUAAUCACACUCUCCACCUCUAAACCAAAUGUUCUUCCUCGAACGGACAUAGAAAGGUACUUGGACUGGUGAAGAGGUGUGGGUAUCUACUCCGCAUGUCAUACACGGACUCCCAUGUGGCUCCCUCGAUUAGUUAACCUCUCCACUCUACUCUAACUGAAAGAUAACUCUUAGACCUCAACUUCCAGACUUACCGGGCUAGAAUGGCCACCGACUCCUCAUCAUAAGUUAAAUCCUUGUCCAAUUGGAUUGAGCUAAAUCACUAUUUAUGAAGUUCCGUGCACUCCUUAUAUUAUAAAGAAAAAAGUAAGUAUGAUGCCCCGGUAGACGCGCAGAGUCGAGAAGCAGAGAGAGGCCAAAAAUUAUAUAAGAGCACAUGAGGCAGAUUUGAUUGGCUUGGUGGAAACCAAAGUGAGGAGUGGAAAGGCAUCCACCUACUAGGAUGAGGCAUAAAGGGAAUUGAACCCACAUCUCGUUGAGAUUCUCCAGCAAGCACCCCUUUCGGAAGCUCAAUUUGUAGGACCGGGGAGAACACUCACAAGCGUGCAAGCGUUUUGAGAGAGCGCAAAACUCUUUGCUUUCUUCUUUCGGCCAGAUCAACGGAUGAGUGGCCUUAUUCGACACCUCUUUCUCUUAUGGCUAGAUAACAUAUGGGACAGAUCACCAUGAUACUUCUGGAGUAUGGACACAUGGAACACCAGAUGGACUGCUGAUAAACUAGGUGGCAGUGCAAGCCUGUAGGCCACCUUACCCACUCUCUCAAGAAUCUCAAAAAGGUUGAUAUACCUAGGGCUCAACUUGCCUUUCUUUCCGAAUCGCAUCAUACCCUUCAUGGGUAAAACUCGUAGUAGAACCCUCUCUUCAACCAUGAAUGCAACGUCACAAACUCUCCAAUCGGCAUAACUUUUCUGUCUAGACUGAGUUGUACGAAGGCAAUAUCCUGAAUCAUCUUGACCUUUUUCCAAGGCAUCCUAAACCAAAACGGUACCCAACAACCGAGCCUCUUCCGACUCAAACCAAUCAACUGGCGAAUAGCACUGCAUCCCGUAUAAAGCCUCAUAGGGAGCCAUCUGAAUGCUUGAUUGUUAGUUGUUGUUGUAGGAAAACUCUAAGUGGCAAGAACUGAUCCUAAGAACCCCCAAAAUCCAUAACACAAGCACGGAGCAUAUCCUCCAAUAUCUGAAUGGUACACUAGGACUGUCCAUCCAUCUGGGAAUGAAAUAUUGUACUCAACUCAACCCGUGUACCUAACUCACGCUGUACGGCCCUCCAGAAGUACGAGGUGAACUACAUACCUCGAUCAGAAAUGAUGGACACGGGCACACCGUGAAGAUAGAUGACCUCACGGAUAUAGAUCUCAACCAACCGCUCUGAAGAGUAGGCAACUGCUACUGGAAUGAAAUGCGCCCACUUGGUUAACUUGUCCGCCCAACAACGAAAUCCAUGGUAAUACGCUCCCACUUCUAUUCAGGAAUCUCCAACCUCUGAAGAAAACCACUAGUCCUCUGAUUGUGACGCCCCGAACAAUAGCCUGGGUGUAACACGACACUCGGUGCCUGACUAUAUGUGACCGAGCGAACCAACUGCUGGCUGAAUCAACAUGCGAUAUCAUAACAUUUUGAAUGCGAAAGAUAAACUAAUAUAUGUUGAUAUAUUGAAAUUCUGAAUGAUAAUAAAUCAAAGUGUGAAAACACUAAUACAAUUCUAAAACAUACUUGUAGCCGGCAUGGCUUAACAUGAAAAGCCUUCGACUAUGUCUAACUGUUACUCUAGUCUUUGAAGACUCUAAUAAAGUACUGAAAAUAUUGGUUGUUUGAAAAUACUGAAGAUUGUAUUAAUGAUAAUGCCCCGAAAGAACUAGGAUCACCAAAUAGCUGGUACGAGAAUCCAAGCGCUCUAAAUCAUCAACUUGUAAAUCAUUACCUGCAUCGUGAAACGCAGGUCUCUGCAAAAAGGGAUAUCAGUACAUUUGAAUUGCACUGGUAUAUAAAGCAACUGAAAGAAAGAACUGUAAAUAUUGAUAUUGAAACUGAACUGAUAACUGAUAACUAAUAACUGAGAACUGAUAGCUAAUAUUUGAUAAUUGAAAUGAUAACUAAUAACUGAAAUGAUAACUGAUGACUGAUAACUGAUAACUGAACUGAACAAAGGAAGUAAGGAUAUGAAUACUCCCUCUUCUGAAUGAUGAACCACCUAUUUAUCUGAAUAAAUAAAUUGUGGCCUAAUAUAUAUGUGCACAAACUGUGGCCUCGAGCCCUAGUAUACGUAUACAUAACUGUUGCAUCAGGCCCAAAGAUGAAUAAAGGAUAAACCGCGGCAUCAUGCCCAAAGAUGCAUAAAGCAUAAAAUGAGGCCUUAGGCGCAAAGAUGCAUAAAACAUAAACUGCAGCCUCAGACCCAAGUACAAGGGAUCAACAUUCAUGGAUUUAAAAUUAGGAACUGAGAAUCAUACUGCAAUACAUGAUACUGAAUACUAAACCAUAUUGAGUUACAUGAUACUGGAAUGCUCAAUAGAACUAGACUGAGACAUGUAUUCAUGAACUAAUUAUGAGAGCUUAUGCUUCAACUGUUUAUGACAUGCUGGUAAUAUAGACUUAGAUUCAUGGAUAUUAAACACAAGUUUAUAUUGAUUACACACUGAGCUCACAACGUUCAAAAUGAAAGUCAUGAACGGAUUACGAAGCUAGAGAAUAGAAGUUCUGCAACUAUUCAAGGAACGAGGCUUAACUAUAUUUUUGAGGCAAUUAGUAACUUUGUAAAAGAAACGUAGUGUAGGGAGAAUCAUCAACAUUACAAAACAUAGAGAGUUAGCUUCACAUACCUUAACUUCCUGCUCUUAAGCGUAAUACAAAAUUCGCCAACCUUUUCAACUUUAAUCUAUAUCAAUACAAGUCAAAGGGAUUGUAUAUUAGCAAUAAUAUUCAUGUGUUGGUCACUUAAGCAUUUUAUCAAACACCUUAUGAGCGUUAAGCCUCAUAACCCUCAUUAAUAGUGUCUCUACACCCAACAACCCCAUUCUCUUACUCCUAAUAAAUUCUAAAAUCUCAAAUUUGUUAUAAUUAAUAGCAUUCAUCGUCACCCAUAAGAUAAACAAUACCCUUAACCAAUAAUUAACAAUCAACAACACAAACCUAUGUCUGAUCAUGCUUUUCUAUCAAAACCAUCAACUCAUAUCUCAUGAACUUAGAGUCUAUAAUCAUUAAUCCAAUGCUAUAAUCAAUUAGAGGGUGCAGAUAUUGCCUUUUGACGUUCAAUCCUCUUGAAUUCGAGUUUUAAGGUUUCUUUUCUCAACAAUGAUGUCUCAAUCAAAUAUCUGAUGAUUUGAAGGGUUUACCCAUGUUAAUAUGGUAUUGGAGAAUCGAAAUUAACUUAGAAUCACCAUUAGAACUCACCUUGGAUGGUGGAGGGACCUUUGAGGAGUUAGGUUCUUGAGAGCUUCCCUUUCUAGAGCAAGGUUAUGUAUUUUGGGGUGUAGGGGACGAGGUAGGGCUUAUAAAAUGGCUUCCCGGGUGCUCCCUCAUGCAAAUGAAGGCUCAACCAUUCACCUGAACAUGUAUCGGGUCAGUAGCACUGCCACACGUGUGGGGCCGCGCACGAUAUCUUCUGGACGUGCAUACUGCUCAUUGUCCAGUAAAAUGCACAUAAAUGUUUGCUCAAAAAUCCGUUCGGGCUCUACAAUAUAUAUUUGGAAAGUAAUUUCAAAGGGAUACAACUUUCAUGUUUUAAGUUUUCCCAAAUUUUCAACAGAGUUUCACGAAAUCCUGAUAUAAGACAGAUUUUUCAUACACUUAGUCGAUUUUAUCGAAUCUUAUGCACCACACUCUCUGCCUUGAUUCCAAAACAACUAUUUCCACCCAUACUCAUCUCGAUGGAACUUCACAUAUCUAAAAUAUCACAUUAAUACUCAUUUAACAUGUCCACGCCUAGUUUGAAUUUUUGGAGUGUUACAUUAUCUCCGCUUGGGAUCAUUCGCCCUCGAAUGAUUUUCCUGACUGUAACUCCGGCUAACUUUGGACUUUAAACGGGUCUGGUGAAAACAUUGACUUUCAUGAACACUUGCAUACUAAACUGAAUGAAUAUGUAAUUACUGAACUGUUGAGAUACUGAAUUGAAUGACUACUACAUUAACUGAAUACUAAGCUGACUGAAUACUGAAGGACAUGGAGAUUAAAAUAUAAGGUCUGAAUGAAAAAGGUUAGUUACAUCCAACAUUUAUCCAAAACACCUGCCAGCUACCAUAGCAUAACACAAGCCUCGCAUGGCAACAUAAUGUGCCUAACAUGAAAUAUAUAUGUUAAUAUUGGUCUGCCACGGAUACGUGAAUACUGAACUAACAUGGAUAUAUGAAUAUUGAACUGGCGCGAAUAUUUGAGUACUAACUGAUAUCAAUAUCCGAAUACUAAGCUGGCAUAAACAUCUGAGUACUGGAUUGACAUGAGUAUCUAAAUAUUGGAAACCUGAAUGUUAUCACAUGAUACAGAAGUACUGGGUGUACAACGGCAAAUUCUAGUGGCAACUCUAACUCAUAAGAUACUUGACCGAUCCUUCGUAGGAUCCUAUACAACAUGAUGUAUCUGGGACUGAGCUUUCCUUUCUUCCCAAGUGUUAUAACACCUUUCGAAGGCAAAACUUUCAGAAACACCCAAUAAUCAACUUGAAACUCUAGGUCUCUACGCCGCACGUCCGAAUAGGAUUUUUGGAGACUCUGAGCCAUCUUCAAGUGCUCUUGAAUCAACUUUAUUUUCUCCACAACCUGAUAGACCAAAUUUGGUCCCAACAACUCUGCUUCACCAACUUCAAACCAAACAAUGAGAGACCUACACCUUCGCUCAUACAAAGUCUCACACUGUGCCAUCUUGAUACUAGAAUUGUAGCUGUUAUUAUAAGUAAAUUCAAUGAGAGGUAUGUGAUCAUUACAAUUACCUUUAAAAUCAUGGACAUGUCCUUAAGUGUUUGAUUAAUGCGCUCUGCCAGGCAUAUUUCUGAGGAUAAAAAUUAUGCUGAGGUUUGCUCUUGUGCCUAAUCCUUUCUUAAAGGUCCUUUAAAAGUUCUUUGCAAACUGAGCACCAUGAUCUGAAAUGAUGGACAACAUAGUCCCAUGCAAUCAGACAAUUUACUGGAUAUACAACUUGGCAUAAUCCUCUGGUGAAUCUGUAGUCUUUACUGGCAAGAAGUGCACUAACUUGGUAAGUCGAUCUAUAAUCACCCAAUCAAAUCAUGCUUUCAAAAUGGGCGAGACGAUCCUGUUAUAAAGUCCAUAUCUAUCAUCUCCACUAAGGAAUAUGUGUAUUUUGUCGUAAUACACUAGGCUUUCUGUUGCUCGACUUUUAUUUGCUGAUAAUUCGGACACUUGUCCAAAAAGUAUACAACUUACUUUUUCAUAUCGUUCCACCAAUAAAUCUUCUUUGAGCAUGAUACAUCUUUGGGGAGUCUGGGUGGAUACAAUACCUGGAAUUAUGGAUUUUUAACAUGAUCAUCCUCUCUAAGUCCAUCUAUGUCUGGAGCACACGGUCCGUCUUAGUACCUCAAAGUACCAUCAUCUCCCCUCUUGUACAAAAUCCAUCAUCUUAAGCUUGUGAAUCCCCUCUUUCAGCUGCAACCAGUAGGGAUCAUCAAUAUAUUUCUCUUUCACUUCGGCUACUAUGAAGGAACAAGUCCCUUUUUGGACAACAACUCUACUAUCUUCGGAGUCCAAAAGUCGAACUCCUAGCUUGGCUAAGCGCUGGACUUCUUUAACAAUAGUUCUCUUGUCUGCCUCAAUCAUAAGUUAUACUUCCCAUACUAGAUUAUCUUUUUAAGGUACUUCUUGAAAACACUUAUAGUAUUGUUGCGAGCUAAGUCUUUGGCCAGUACUCCGAAAUUAGAAUCUCGUGCAAUGGCACUACCAUCAUGAUACAUAACUGGGCAUGAUUUUAUAGAUUUUAUAUCCCAUGCUAACUAUGCGAGUUUCAAAUCUCCAACUGGACUUACUAAUGAUUUUCAUAUCUCCCCCUUAAACCAAAGGUUAAAGUCUUGUACUUGCAGAUCCUUCUAUUUUGUUGGGAUCCGGAUAACUUUCCUUGUCUUAUGCAAUUCUUUGCACUUUACAUCAAUGACAACUCAUCUUCUGACUAACUUCUGGGCAAUCUUUCUUACAAGGAAAAACUAAAUUACUUACAUAAAUAGAAAGCUAAUGUAUUCACAACUAUCAUACACAAUUUUAAUGAUUUGAAUCUGCUCACGCUGUCAAUCUUAGGAAGACCCUUUUUUGAUAACUUUUAAAGGCUAUUUUUCUGUAGCUUGCUCUCUUACUGCCUAUCUGAUUUUUUCUCCCAUUGUCAAUUUACUUUGGGUUUAACCUCAACUCUUUGGGUUCUAACACGCUUUAGAUAUUUCAAAUUGUCAUCCACUCACUAGAUUUAACCUGGCUAAGUGAAUCAAAUCUUACCUCUACUAGCUCUGUUGAAAUUGCUAAUUCACUAUAUCUACUCAAAACUUACUUACUAUUCUUUUACUAAUCAUCUGCUAGCAUCAUGUUUUCUUAUUCUACUUUGAAUAACUAAAGUGAAGCAUAAGGUUAUUCCUAACUUCCCUCACCAUCUGACCCUAUUCUACGGUCGCAUACUUAUUUUUGAACUAUGUACAUGGAUCACACUUACAUAAAUUUCAUUUGUCUUAAACGAAAUUGGAAUAUCUAACCCCAAACUUUCUAUACACUUCAAAAUCAUAUCGAACUAUAAACAUCUGGGUAAACACUUAGUCACAUGACCUAAGGAAAAAUUGUUAUAUCUUUUAUCUCACAAUAAAAGUUGUUCCUUAUAGUAACUUACUAACGUGGUACUUUCUAGUUCUGAUUUGAAUUAAUACCAACAACUUAAAAUCAUUCCCUAAAAUCCAAUAUUGCAUGCUCUUCUUUCUCAUUUCGUACAUCAUAUCUUCUUAGUAAUUUUUCCUUGGGCUCUUUUGUAUCCAAAACUAUAGUGAUCAAUUCUAUGCACAUUGCGGUUAAAUUGUUAACAUGUUACACAGUGGGGUCUGACAUAUGAAUACACUACGAUACACAAACUUGUCCUUCAGAGUAUAGCAUCAUCUGAUAAAUUACUCCCUGCACCAUCCAGCCAGUCUUGGGUCUUAAUCCUGACCUAAAACAUGCAAAGAUUUCGCUAUAAUCACAGUUAAUUAUAUUUUCUUUUAGAACCCAUAGGCAUCACUAUAUACUCACAAGUCACCAGAAAUUGGAUACACUAAAAAUUGAAGAUCAGGUAACUAAAUAACUAAAUAAAGGCAUACUGAAUAACCAUAAACUUGCAAACUGAAAGAUUGUAUAACUGGUAAUUGAGGUAAACUGAUAACCAUAAAACAUGCUCCAUAAUUAUACUCCAAUGGGCAAUUAUCCUCUCUAAGACCUUGAGUUUUUCUUGCCCGUCGUUUGGGCAUCCAAUACAUCUAGAAUUUGAUAGGAAGAGAAGGUUACCUAUUGCUCUAAGCUUNNNNNNNNNNNNNNNNNNNNNNNNNNNNNNNNNNNNNNNNNNNNNNNNNNNNNNNNNNNNNNNNNNNNNNNNNNNNNNNNNNNNNNNNNNNNNNNNNNNNNNNNNNNNNNNNNNNNNNNNNNNNNNNNNNNNNNNNNNNNNNNNNNNNNNNNNNNNNNNNNNNNNNNNNNNNNNNNNNNNNNNNNNNNNNNNNNNNNNNNNNNNNNNNNNNUAUGCAUGGCCGACACAUACAAAUAAAGGAAACUCCACUGGACACAGCUUCAUAAACUUCCUAGGACACUUGAACCAUGCUCUGAUACCAAGCUUUGUCACGCACCGAACCAUGGCCUGGGCGUAACACGACACUCGGUGCCUGACUACAUAUGACCGAGAGAACCAACUGAUGGCUAAAUCAACACGUGAUAUCAUAACAUACUCAAUGCGGAAGAUAAACUAAUAUAUGCUGAUAUACUAAAAUUAUGAAUGAUAAUAAAUCAAAGUGCGAAAACACUAAUACAAUUCUAAAACAUAUUUGUAACCAACAUGGCUUAACAUGAAAAGCCCGCGACUAUGUCUAAUUAAUACUCUAGUCUAUGAAGCCUCUACUGAAGUACUGAAAACACUAACUGUUUGAAAAUACUGAAGACUGUAAGGUAAUGAUAAUACCUCGAAAGAACUGGGGAUCACCAAAUAUCUGGUACGAGAAUCCUAGCGCUUUGAAUAAUCAACCUGUAAAUCAUUACCUGCAUAGGGAUAAGUAAGCCCCAAGCAAAAAGGACAGCGGUACAUUUGAAUUGCACUGGUAUAUAAAGAAACUGAAAGAAAGAACUGUAAAUAUUGAAACUAAAACUGAACUGAUAACUAAUAACUGAGAACUGGUAGCUAAUAUUUGAUAAUUGAAAUGAUAACUCAUAACUGAACUAAACAAAGGAAGUAAGGAUAUGAACACUCAUUCUUCUGAAUGAUGAACCACCUAUUUAUCUAAAUAAAUCAACUGUGGCCUCAGGCCUAAUAUAUAUGUGCACAAACUUCAGGCUCGAGACCAAAUAUACGUAUACAUAACUGCGGCCUCAGGUCCAAAGAUGCAUAAAGCAUAAAUUGUGGCCUCAGGCCCAAAGAUGCAUAAAGUAUAAACUGCAGCCUCAGGCCCAAGUACAGGGGUUCAACAUUCAGGGAUUUAAAAGUAGGAACUAAGAAUCAUAAUGCAAUACAUAAUACUGAAUACUGAACCAUAUUGAGUUACAUGAUACUGGAAUGAAUAGAACUAGACUGAGACAUGUAUUCAUGAACUGAUUAUGAGAGCUUAUGCUUCAAUUGUUUAUGACAUGCUGGUAAUCUAGGCUGAGACUCAUGGGAAUUAAAAACAAGUCUAUAUUGAUUACGCACUGAGCUCACAACGUUCGAAAUGAAAGUCAUGGACGAAUUACGAAGCUAGAGAAUAUAAGUUCUGCAACUAUUCAAGCAACUAGGCUUAACUAUAUUUUUGAGGCAAUUAGUAACGUUGUAAAGGAAAUGUAGAGUAGAGAGAAUCAUUAACAUUCCCAAAGAUAGAGAGUUAACCUCACAUACCUUAACUUCCUUCUCUUGAGCGUAAUACAACAUUCGCUAACCUUUUCAACUUUAAUCCAUAUCAAUACAAGCCAAAGGGAUUCCAUAUUAGCAAUAAUACUCAUGUUUUGGUCACUUAGGCAUUUUAUCAACAUCUUAUGAGCGUAAAGCCUCGUAGCCGUCAAAUGGUGUCUCUACACCCAACAACCCCAUUCUCUUACUCCUAAUAAAUUCUAAAAUCUCAAAUUUGUUAUAAUUAAUAUCAUUCAUCAACAAUCGAAACCUAUGUCCGUUCAUGCUUUUCUAUCAAACCCAUCAACUCAUAUCUCAUGAACUUAAAGUCUAUAAUCAUUAAUCCGAUGCUAUAAUCAAUUAGAGGGUGAAGUUAUUACCUUUUGACGUUCAAUCCUCUUGAAUUCGAGUUCUAGGAUUUCUUAUCUCAACAACGAUGUCCCAAUUAAAUAUCUAAUGAUUUGAAGGGUUUUCCAUGUUCAUAAAGUGUUGGGGAAUUGAAAUUAACUUAGAAUCACCAUUAGAACUCACCUUGGAUGGUGGAGGGACCUUUGAGGAGUUAGGUUCUUGAGAGCUUCCCUUACUAGAGCAAGUUUUUGUAUUUGGGUGUGGGGGACAAGGUAUGGCUUAUAAAACGACUUCACGGGGUGUGCCCCACACAGAUGAAGGCCCAACCGUGCACCUGAGCAUGCAGUAGGGCAAUAGCACUGCCACACAUGCGUGGUCGUGCAAGGGACCAUCUGAGCGUGCAUAGUGCGCGUUAUCUUGUAAAACGCAUAUAAAGUUUUGUGCAGAAAUCUGUUUGGGCUCCACAAUAUAUCGUUGGAAAUCUAUUUCAAAGGACUAUAUCUUUCAUGCUUUAAGUUUUCCCAAAUAUUUAACAUAUAUUCACAACAUCUUGAUAUAAUACAGACCUUCCAUAAACUUAGUCUAUUUUAUCGAAUCUUAUGCACCACACUCUCCGCCUUGAUUCCAAAAUAACUAUUUUCACCCAUACUCAUCAUGAUGGGACUUCACAUGUCUAAAAUAUCACAUUAAUACUCAUUUAACAUGUCCACACCUAGUCCAAAUUUAUGGAGUGUUGCACUGAUGAUCGUACUUUACUUGCUGAUAAUGCAAACACCAAGCUACAUAAUGCAACAUUAUCGUUCUUCAUCUUUAUCCACUAAUAAUGCUGCCUCAAGUCCUGAUACAUCUUGGCAGCACCCCGAUGAAUGGAGUAUCGCGAACUGUAGGCCUCCUCAUGAAUUAACUCACGAAGCUCAUCCACAUUGGGCACACAAAUACAACCCUGUAUCCGCAACACCCAUCAUUUCCAAUAGUAACUUGGUUGGAACCACCGUGCCGCAUCGUGUCCUUAAGGACAAGCAAAUGGAGGUCAUCAUAUUGACGCUCUCUGGUGCGCUCAUACAUGAAAACCGAGAGGCCGUGCAAGCUAGAACACAACUGGGCUCCGAAACAUACCCACAAACUGAUUGGCCAAUAACUGAACAUCUAAUGCUACAAGCAUCUCUUCAACUGGAAUAUAUGCAAGGCUACCCAUACUCACAACCUUCCUACUCAAGGCAUCAGCCACCACAUUGGCCUUCCUAGGAUGAUAAAAAAUGGUGAUAUCAUAGUCUUUCAAUAACUCUAACCACCUCCUCUGCCUCGAGAUCAGAUCCUUUUGCUUGAACAAAUACUGUAGACUCCGAUGAUCCGUGAACACCUUACACGAUACGCCGUAGAGGUAAUGCCUCCAAAUCUUCAGUGCAUGAACAAUGGUUGCCAACUCUAAGUCAUGAAUAGGGUAAUUUUUCUCAUGAACCUUCAUCUACUAUGACAUGUAUGCAAUCACCCUGCCAUCCUACAUCAAUAUUGCACUAAUCCCAAUACGAGAUGCAUCAAAAUACACCGUGUAAGAUCCUGAACUUGUGUGCAACACCAACAUCGGUGUCGUAGUCAAAACAAUAUUGAUCUUUUGAAAUCUCAACUCACACUCAUCGGAAUACCUGAACGAAGCACCCUUCUAGGUCAAUCUAGUCAAUGGGGUUGAAAACCCCUCCACGAACCGGCGAUAAUUACCCGCCAAACCUAGGAAACUCCAAAUUUUAAUAGCUGAAAUGGGCCUAGGCUAGUUCUGAACUGCCUCAAUCUUCUUAGCAUCCACUCUUAUGCCCUCGAUCGAUACAACAUGCCCCAAAAGGCGACCCAGUCUAACCAAAACUCACACUUUGAAAACUUGGCAUAUAACUGACUAUCUCUCAGAGUCUGAAGUACAAUCUGGAGAUGCUGCUCAUUCUCCUCUCUGCUACGGGAGUAGAUCAAUAUAUUGUCAAUGAAUAUGAUCACAAAAGAAUCCAAGUAGGGCUUGAAUACCUGGUUCAUCAAAUCUAUAAAUGAUGUUGGGGCAUUUGUCAACCCAAAUGAUAUUACUAGGAACUCAUAAUGCCCAUACCGAGUCCGAAAAGCCAUCUUAGGGAUAUCUGAUGCCCUAAUCUUCAACUGAUGGUAGCCAGACCUCAAAUCAUUCUUUGAAACACUUUUCCAUCCUGAAGCUAAUCAAAUAAGUCACCAAUCCUUAGCAACGAAUACUUUUUCUUGAUAGUGACCUUGUUCAGCUGCCGAUAGUCUAUACACAUCCUUAUCGAACCAUCCUUGUUCUUCACAAACAAUAAGGGCGUACCCCAAGGCGAGACACUAUGUCUAAUAAAUCCUUUAUCAAGCAAGUCUUGCAGCUGCUCUUUUAAUUCCUUCAACUCUGGCGGGGUCAUACGGUAUGGUGGAAUAGAAAUGGACAGAGUGCCCAGAGCCAAUCAAUACAGAAGUCGAUAUCUCUGUCGGGUGGCAUCCCCGACAGAUAUGUAUGAAGCACCUCUGGAAACUCACGCACGACUGGUACCGAAUCUAUGGAAGGAACCUCCGCACUAGAAUCGCGAAUAUAAGUCAAAUAAGUUAAACAUCCCUUCUCGACCAUACACCGAGCCUUGACAUAAGAAAUAACCAUGAUGGUAGAAUGGCUAGGAGUCCCUCUCCACUCUAAUCGAGGCAACCCCAGUAUGGCUAAGGCCACUGUCUUGGCGUGACCAUCCAAUAUAGCAUGAUAAGGUGAUAGCCAAUCCAUACCCAAGAUAACAUCAUAGUCCACCAUAUGAAGAAGUAGGAGAUCUACUCUAGUCUCUAGACUUCCGAUAGAAGCCACACACGAGCGAUAGACACGAUCUACAACAAUAAAAUCUCCCACAGGCAUGGACAUAUAUAUAGGAGCACUCAAAGAAUCAUGAGGCACAACCAAAUAUAAAGCAAAAUAGGAUGACACAUAGGAAGAAGUAUAGCCAAUCAAAUAGAAAUGAAGCAUCUCUAUGGAAAACUGGAAUAAUACUUGUGAUGAUGGAGUCAUAUGAAUCGGCCUCAGGUCUAGCUGGAAUGCAUAAAACCGAGGCUGGGCCCACCACCCUGACCUCCAUCACUCACAUGGCCUCUAGCUAACUGGCCUCUACCUCUAAUGGCUUGACCUCUACCUCUAACGGAAUGACCUCUACCUCUGGAUGCCUGCCCCCUGCCUCUAGCUGCCUGAGCAGGCAGUGGAGCAACCGGUGUCGGGACCAUGGUACGAGAACCCUACUGUGGCAUGCUGCUUAACAAUCUUGGAUAGAACCUCCUGAUAUGACCAGUACCCCCACACUCAAAAUACUUAUCCUGCUGUUGUGGCUGCUGAAGCUAAAACUAACCCAAACGGGCAGGAUAACCAAGGUGGUAGCUCUGGAUAGGAGGUGCACUAAUCGGAGUUGAUGGUGCACUAUAGGUUGGUUGCCCAGAAUGAGAUACAUAAGGAACACGACUCCCCCAAGUAUUAUGAGAUGCAUAAAGCUCUAACUAAAAUGGCCUAGGAGGAUGGCCUCUACCAAAAGUCCCCCUGCCUCCAGAUGAGGCACCACUAAAACCACCGGAAUGACGAGGCCUCUUAUCAGACACCGACCCCCUCUCCUGACCACGGACCAUCUCGAUUCGUUUAGCAUUAUCUACGGCCCUCUGGAAAGAGAUAUCAUCUCUAGUCUCCUUGGCCAUCUAUAGCCUGAUACUGAAAGUGAGUCUAUCAAUGAAGCUCCUCUCUCUCUCCCUCUCAGUAGGGAGUGAAAUAAUGGCACGGCGAGCUAGGUCCACAAAUCGAGUCUUAUACUGGGUAACAGUCAUGCUACCCUACUGAAGACACUCAAACUGCAUGCAAUAGUCCUUGCUGUGAAAACUGAUCCUAGGUAAGUGCACGCGAACCAGCUGGUCUAGUUAACAUAUAAUCCCUUCACCAUCUCUUAGCAGAACUGAUCAUCUGGAACACUGCAAAAUCGACCCCAUUGAUCUCAACUAUACCCAUGUUACGCAAUACCUCGUGGCAACAGUCCAAGUAAUCAUAUGGAUACUCAGAAGGUGCACCGUUGAAAUGGAAAAGAAAGAGCUUGGUAAACUUAUCCAGUCUCAACAAAGUCGCAAAAGACAUAGAGGGCCUAUCACGGGCCUGUGCCGCAACAACUGGUUAAACCACCCCAACUGGCUAGGCUACUAGGGUAUGAUAUAGGGGAGCCACCUGCUCCGGGGUAUGAGUAGCGGGAGUCUGUGCUCCUCCCCCAGCCUGAGAGAUGGCUGGUGCAACCAGAAAUGCGUCGGUAUGGGCCACACUCUGCAUAAGGCCCACCAAGUGGACUAGAGCGUCCUAAAGCAUUGGAGUAGCUAUGAAUCCCUCCGGAACCUGAGCCAGUCCGACAGGUACGACAUAAGCUAGAACCUCCUCCUCAUGAUCAAUCAGAGGCUCCACUGCGGGUGUUGCUGCUCGAGCACUAGGCAGAGCUCAGCCUCAGCCUUUAGCUCGACCUCGGCCUCGACCUCUGCCCUUGGUAGGAGCUGCCACAGGGGGCUUUAGCUCCUGUCCGGCUGCUGAUGACGUGCGUGUUCUCGCCAUCUGCGAGAGAACAUGAAUAGAAUAGUUCAAUCAUUAUGAUAGAAUGAAAUUGCAUGAUAGAGAAAAAAAGAAGUGAAAUUUUUCCUAAACUUCAUAGCCUCUGUAAGAUAAGUACAGACGUCUCCAUAUUGAUCCUCCAGACUCUACUAAGCUUGCUCAAGACUAGUGAGACCUAGGCAAACUAGUGCUGCUACCAACUUGUCACGACUCAGAAUCCUAACCUCGGGGUCAUGAUGGUGCCUAACAUCUACUUGCUAGGCAAGCUGACGUGAACAGAAAAUUAACUAAGUUUAAUUUUUUUAUGAUAAGAUAGUAACGAUGAAAAUGGUACAAGUCAGAGGCAUAGUAUGCUAAUACUGAAUAACGAGUGUAAACAUAACCUAGAAACCGGUGUCAUGAGUACAUGAAUAUCUAGAUUGAUACAAACAUGGCCUGAAUAAAAUACACUAUUUUGAAACUCAGAAAAAUAGUAAAGAUAGGAGGGAGGGGGACUUCAGGGCUGCGAAUAUUGUGCAGCUAUACCUCAAGUCUCCGUCACAAACUAGACCCGGGCAAAUCUAUUGAACGCCGCUAGGACCUACUCCGAAAUCUGCAAAAGUAGUGCAAAGUGUAGUAUGAAUACAACCGACCCCAUGUACUCUGUAAGUGCCGAGCCUAACCUCAACGAGGUAGUGAUGAGGCUAAGGCGGGCCACUUACAAUAACUUGUACGCAGUAUAAUACUAAUAGCAAGGAAAGAAAACAAAAAAUAAAAGUAAGGCAGUUAAAUUAUGAAAAAGAACUCAAUCCUCAUAGUUGGCGAACCCAGAAUAACCAAUCACAUAAUUUAAUGUAAAAAUGCUGAAAACCAACACAAUAACAACGACAUCAAUAUACACAAUCCGUUGUGGCGCGUAACCUGAUCUAACCGUACACACUUAAUCCUCCCUUAUUUCACCAUAACAUCAUUUAUCAAUAUUAAGAGUCAUAUACAAUCUGUUGCGCCGCGCAACCAGAUCCCAUUAUAUCAUCAUAAUCAAUGUCAUAAUCCUCCCUUAUUUCACAUGUCAUAAUUUAUCAAUAUCAAGUAUUACGUAUACAAUCGUUGCGGUGCACAACCCGAUCCUACCAUAAUAUUACAAUCAAUAUCAAAAUCCUCCCUUAUUCCACCAUAUCAUAACUGUUGCGGCAUACAACCAGAUCCAUAAAUAAUUUUAAUAAAUGUAAUCAAUCCAAUAGCUCAAUUUACAAGAAUCUCUAUGAUUAAGAAAUAUGAAAGCAAAGCAAUAAAGGGACCAUGUAUUAAUCAAAGGAAUGCUACAAAUAAUACAAUAGCAACAAGACACGUCAAGUACGUGACAAUUAAAGUGUGCAAGUAAGACAAUUAAGGCAAAUAUCAAUUAAUCAUAGAGUCAUAAAAGGAACGAACAAUUUAAUAAAAGAAUAAUUAAUGACAAGUAAUAAAUUACAACAUAGAAAGCAAUUAAAGUAUGUAACAGUUAAGGCAUGGAGUGAGAUACCUCAUGAAAUACGAGAAAGACAUGGAAACAAUCAUUUUGACAAGUAUAUACACUCGUCACCUCGCAUAUACACUAUUUCACAUGUAAUUCAUAUAACAUAUAGUUCAGAGUUUCCUAAUUUCCUUAUAUCAAGGUUAGACCCGACACUUACCUCGCUCCGCAAUCAAAUCAAAGCUCAACUGGGGUCUUUUCUCUAAAAUUCUCCUCCAAACUAAUAGAAUCUAACCAAAAUUAACUCAAUAUCAUCAAACAAUGCUAGUGAAAUCAAUUACAAUAUAUAAAGCAAAGAUCUUUACAUUUUCCCCAAAAAGUUAACCCCGGGCUUGCUUGGUCAAAACCCGAGAUUCGGACCAAAACCUAAUUACACAUUCACCCCCGAUCCCGAUUAUGUGAUUAUUUUUGAAAUCUGACCUCAAUUUGAGGUCUAAAUCUCAAUUGUUACAAAGUCCCCAAUUCUACCCAAAGCCCUAAUUUCUGCCAUAAAAGAGCAUAGAUUAAAGGUUAGAAAUCAAUGGGUGUUAAUGGAAUUGGAAGAAAACGAGUUAAAAUGAUGAAAAUCCCAACUUUGGGAUAGUUAAAAUCACUGGCGUCAGGUAUUCAUCGUGUUCGUGAAGAACCUGACACGAUCGCGAAGCACUGUUAUCACGACCCAAAAUCCCACCACAAGCGUCGUGAUGACACUUAGUCUCUACGACUAGGUAAACCGAUUAUAAUUACACUUCUAGCCAUUUUUCUUAAACAUAUAAUUUAAUACAAGUGUCAAAACCAAAAGCGGAAACAAUUAUAACAACCUCCCAAGAUUGAUAAUACUGAGUCACGAACUGUAACUGAAUACAUCCCGAGGAUCAAAUAUACAAUACUGUUCGAAUAAGGGUUGACAGCAAAAUAAAAUGGAAAGACUACAAGGGACUGUGACGACCAAGCAGCUCUACCUUGAAUCCUUGCGAUCACACUCUAGUCUCUGUCCGAAUACGAUAUCUCCAAUACCUGGCUCUGCACAUAGUAUGAGUACACCACAGUCGGUACCCAAUAAGUAUCAAGACUAAUCUCGGUGGAGUAGUGACAAGAUAUAGUCAAGACACUCACUAGUCAAAUAACCUGUGCAAUAUAGCAGUAUACAUUAGCACUGGAAAUCAACUAGCAAUGAUAGCAACAAAAAUGAAGCAGUGAUAUAAACAACAAGGAAACAAGAGCACUAUAAUUAUUUCUCAAACAAAUAAGGAACACAAGUACAACCAAUUAAUCAGGACCUUCAAAUAUAAACCUUUCACAUAUAAUUCUUAAUAUAAAUAUCUUUCAAAUAACCAUCUUUCGAAUAUACUUCUUUAAAAUAACCAUAUUUCGAAUAUAAUUCCUUCAAAUAAAAGUCACUAUGUGACUCCUUAUUUCAUAAUCAUAAAACACGGGUCGCAACCCACUUUUAUAUUUUUGUAAUACGGGUCUCAACCCACUUUUAUAUUUUCACGGCACCUCAUGCUCAUAUUUCUAUCAAAACCGUACGGACAACUCAUGUGCCAAUAAUAAAAAUUAUCAUAUUUUCCCCGGCACCUCGUGCCCACAUUUCAUAUCUGUUGCGGCGUGCAACCCGAUCCCAUAUAACAUUAAUCAUACCUGUCGCGGCGUGCAACCCGAUCCCAUAUAACAUAAUCCGCUCGGCGAUAGCCACAUGCUCACAAUUUCAACAUAGAUCAUACUAUCAUCAAGUUUACCGAAACAACAAGACAAGUUGCACAAGAUAAAAAUAAACACAAGGAAAAUCACAGCAUCACAUGAAAAUUACCAACGCAAUAACCCCACAUCAUCACAUAAAAAUUACCAACACAAUAACCCCACAUCAUCACAUAUCAUCCCUGAUGCUGGCCACCAAUAUCACUCCUAUAGCCACCCUUAUCACUCCUAUAAUAACCUUCAUUAUCCCUCCGCCCUGACAAUAUCAAUAGUCACCCACCCUUAUCACUCCUAUAGCCACCCUUAUCACUCCUAUAAUAGCAUCCAUUAUCACUCUUCCUAGACAAUAUCCCAACAUACAUAACAACAGUGAAAUGCCACCCUUAUGCCCGCAUAAUGUCAACAAUCAAAUUCCACCCUUACACGACACAUAACAGUAACUCAAAUCACACAACAAUUCACAUAGAAUAUUAUCACAAUAGCACAACAUCAUCAACUCGUAUUUACAAAUUGCCCGUAGGCCACAACCUUUCCAAAGGUACAACAAAGUCAAUUAAUUUCACAACAGAUAGUCCAUAGCCCAACACAAUGUAUAUAAAAUCUCAAAAAUAACAAGAAGAAUGGGAAAAUAAACUCAGCAUAGGACAACACCUUCUUUAAUCCAAAUUUCUGAUAAAUAUACAAAUGCCUCGUUUUAAACUUAUUUAAUUACUUAUUUUCAGGAAAUGUCAACUCAACAAAUACACGAGACUCACAUAAAAAUCAAAGUGGCAAUCACACCAAAUUAUUAUAUAAAAACAAAUUUGACAAACAAGGGUUUGAGGUAUGGCAAAUAGAGGAUUUAAUAAAUGCCAACAUUUAUCCAAUUUAAUACAUAAAAAUGCCUAAGACUUUAAACCAAUAAAAUUUGCAAAUAUAAGCCCGAAUGCGUACUCGUCACCUCGCGUACACGGCUUUCAAUCACACAAUUUCCACAUAAGACUCAAUGCCUAAGGGGUAAUCCCCCACUCAAGGUUAGGCAAGAUACUUACCUCGACGAAACUAAACCGAUACUUUAAAUGAUCUUCGAAAGUGAAGCCACCUCCGGACAUAUCAAAUCUGAAAUUCGCCCCUUCAUAAUACUAGGAUGGUCCACCACACUAAAGAAAUUUCAAUCUACAACAAUGCAACACAAUUGCACCAAUAUUAGCAAGAUUUCUAUAAUUUAAUUCAUUUAGAUAUUUUAUCAAACAUCUAAUGUGCAUAUUUUUCUAUAACUUCCUUCAAUGGAAUUUUUUCACCUAACAACCACCUUCCACACAAAUGAUUCACCUCACAAUUGUCUCUAGGACAUGCAAAACUUCCCUUAGAUAUGCAUGCCCAACAAUUCACCCACAGCCCAUAAAUCUUCUCAAUUAAUUCAUUUUACAAACUCUACAAUACCAACACACCUAGGUUGGGCACUCAUUGAUUCCAAUCACCAUCCCAUAAGUCCUAACACAUAUUUCGUACAUAAAUAAUCACCAUGAAUUAGUUAGAUAUAGUAGACAUACCUCUUGCAGACCAAAUCUUGAAAGAUAACUUUUGGGGUGUUCUUGAGAUUUUUGAAGAAUUCCUAUAGAAUCCAAUCAAAACCUUGUUGUAACUAGUGAUUGAAAAGUAAAAUCAUCAUAAAAACACACUUAAAAACUACCUUAGGUAUGUAUUGGAAGACUUGACCGGAUGUGUGAUGGAGAGAAAGCCCUGGUCUUGAAGAAAUGACUUAUCCACUCUCUCUCCCCAGCCUCGGGGGUAUUUAUAGGGCUCCUACGUGCGCGGUCGCACACCUCGGCAAGUGACCGCGUAUCUGGCCGCGCACACGAGAUAGAAUACCCCCUUAUCUGUGCGGCCGCGCAUCUAGGCGGGCAUAUGGCAGAGGUCUGGUAAAAUGGGCAUAACUUUCUAUAUACAUAUCCAAAUGACAAACGGUUUAAUACGUUGGAAACUAGACUCAAAGGUAUUUAAUAUGAUAGGUAUAUCACCACUUAAAUCUUUAUAUUUUGGUAGUUGCAUGCGUUUGAAGUCCUACCUUGUGCAAAUUUAUUUAAAACUUUAGCCCAUUGCAUAGAUCUCAACUUGUCUUAGUUCUAGGGAUCUCCUUAGACCCUAACAACAUCCAAUACAACUCCUACAUUUUAUAUCAUGAUCAUCUAAGUUGUUCCAAUCCUUAACCUCUUGUGGAAAGGCAAGACGACACUUAAGCGAAUUGUGAGCGUGCUUAUGGCAUCAAACUAAUAGGAAAUUCGAGGGGCCUCACAUCCUCCAACAUCACAAGAAUCACGAAUCGUGCAUCGAUUCAAGCCUAAGAAACUUAUGAACUUCCGAAUUUCAAAACUAAUGCUGAUUCAUAACAAACCAACUCCGAUUGAUUUUAAAUUUUGCACACAAGUCAUAAAUGACACCACAUACCUAUUCCAAUUUACUGAACUAAAAUUCUAACCCGAAGUCGAUUGCUUAAAAGUCAAACUUCGGUCAACUCUUUUCAUUUAAGCUUCAAAAAAUAAGAAUUGUUCUUUCGAUUUAAUUCCGAACCUUCUCAAAACCAAACUCGACCUUGUACGCAAGUCAUAGCACAUAUUACAAAGUUGCUCGAGAUCUUAAGUCGUUGAACGAGACGUAAAUUCUCAGAACAACAAGUUGGGUCAAUACAUUCUCCCCUCUUAAACAUACGUUCCUCCUCGAACGUGCCAAGAAUCUUUCUGAGGAUAUUAAAUUACUGAGUGUAUUCUUACAUGCAUACUCGCUGGUGAUUCUUCUUCGCCGCAAACUAACAUGUGUCCGACAACACCAUCUCAAUUGAGAUUAUUUCUCAUAUUUGCACUUAUAAGCCUUAAAAUCAAAUUUCUUACACUUCAAUCAUUUUAAAAAAGACCUGAUUUUUCACAUCGACAUACCGUAUUAGACUCAACUGGCUGUAGCAACUCGUGCCAACACUUGAACGACACAUUCACAUAGCAUGAUACAUCAUACAUAGGCCCAUAAUAAUAACUCUGGUCACAAUGGCUGCCCAUAAUCAAUUUCAGCACCAACAAUUAAAUUUCAUCUCAGUUCAAGCCUAGUUUCAAACCUUCACACCACAGACAACGAUUUGAGGAACAUGAAAACUUCGUAAUUAUUCACCCGAAUUAAUGAGUCAUAUUUAACGUCAUCUGGGCACAUACCUUGUAGGCUAAAAUACAAUAAUCACAACACAACUAUGACUAACAUGCGCAGAUAAACACACGAUUGAAUUAUCAAACAAGCCCAUCAGGCAUAACUCCCUAUCUGUACUAUAAUGCUAAAAUUUACACGAGGGAAAAUUUAAAGCAUAUGAAUUUAACCUGAUACAAAUAGGUCAUUAAGCUACUGUUGUGGUUCGGUUUUCGGUUUCGGUUCAGUUUUGAACACCCCUAAUUGCGGCCCAAUUGGCCUUUGUGUUCGCGAGAUGCUAUUCGUUUUCCCGAUGGAUCUCCCCCCUGGCCAUCACAUUCGUGACCCUUUGAUCGUGUUCGCAAAGAAUACCCAGCUGCUCCCCUCCCAGACCCCUCACUCAUCGCUUUCGCGAGUGAAGAGCCGCAUUCGCAGAGGGUUACCUCCCCCCAUGCUCCGUGUUCGCGAAGAAAAAAUCCUCCUCAGUCCCUAGUUACCCUUCGCGAUCGCAAGAGUAGCUUCACGAUCGCGAAGAAAGAUACACCAGAUAUCAACAGUUGUGAAAAACCAGUAAUCCUUCAAGUUCGAAAUGGUUCAUAGCCUAUCCAAAACUCACCUGAGCCUCUCGGGCUCCAAACCAAACAUGCACACAAGUGUAAUAACAUCAUACGAACUAUCUCUCGUGAUAAAAAUACCAAAAUAACACCUAGAACCGCGACAUAAAAAAUAUAUUAAAUUUUCAAUGAAACUUAAGAGCUUUCAAGUUUACAACCGGAUGCCCAAGUUACGUCAAAUCAACUCCGUUUUGUAUCAAACUUUACAGACAAGUCAUAAAUAGUGAAAUAAAUCUAUACCAAGUUCCGAAACCAAAAUCCGAACCUGGUAGAAACAAAGUCAACCUACUGUCAAACUUAAGAAUUAUUUAAACCUUCAAAUUACUAAUUUUGAAUAAUUCACGUUAAAUCAAGUUAGGGACUUCAGAAUUUGAUUCUGGGCAUACACCCAAGUCCCAAAUCACGAUACGAACCCACUGGGACCGUCAAAUACUGAGUCGGGUUCGUUUACAUAAAAUGUUGACCGUAGUUAACUCAAAUUAUUUUUAAGGCUAAAUUUCAUAUUUUUCAAUUUUUACAUAAAUUCUUUUUGAAAAAGACACAGUCUGCACACGUAAAUCGAGAAAGGCCAAAUGGAGCUAUUCGAGGUCUCGAAAUACCGAAAUAAUGGCUAAAAUGCAAAAUGACCUAUUAGGUCGCUUGACUUUACAUAGUCAAUUAUGAUAAUAUCCCUAAAGAGUAGUUGCCUAGCUGUUUUAUGUCAUCGUCGUAUAUGACAAGAUUUUUCAUUAUAGAUAAUGCUCCCGGCCCUUCCUAUUGCCGCUUGACCAUCGUAAUGUAUGCAUAUAGGUGCCAAUAUUCUUCUUCACCGGCCUUUUCUAAGGCUAUAAACUCAGCCUCCAUUGUAGAGCGACAAUGCACGUUUGUUUGGACGAUUUUCAAGAAGUUGCUCCUCCACAAAUUGUAAAAAUAUAUCCACUUGUGAAUUUAGUUAGGUUGAUCCGGUGAUCCAAUUUGCGUCACUAUACCCCUCAAUAACCGCAUGAUACUUAUUAUAGUGCAAUGCAUAGUCAUGGAUAUAUUUCAAAUAUCUCAAACUCAUUUUAUUGUCAUGAUAAUUCAAUGCAAACUUCCUUAUAUCGUAGACUUAUACGUCUCGACUUUCUAUUGCAUAUCAUAUUAUUGACUACACUUAAUGUAGCAAUACUUAUAAGAACAGUUGGAAUAAUUGGCAUCAGUUGUGGCCAUAACCUUUUAAUAUAUAACACAUUUUGCAACCAUUCCGCCAUUUCAAGCAUUUGUAUGCUAAUUAUUCAUACGUCUAUAUGAUAUGCAAAUUAUAGCGCAUUCAUUCAUGAAAUAAAUCUAACUUGCAAUGGAUUUUGGUCUUGUUCAUCGGUUGAUUCACCUCAUUAUAGACCAACCCAUUAAUACAUUUGUUCAUUAACGGUCAUAUUUAUACAAAACAUACAAAUGCACUUUUCAUGAAAAGUCACAUCCUUCCAAGUGACACCCUUUCAUAAAAGAACUAAACAUUAUAAAUGUUUAAGAAAAACAAAUCAUUUCUGGAAAGACACGCAAACAACUUUCGAAUUUGUAGUUUCAUCACUAGUCAUCACUAAGACUGAACAAAUAAUGAAUUCACCGACUAUCAUAUCAAUAUCCACUAAGAAUUUGUGGGGUUCAAAAAUUAUAUCAUUUAUACAUUAUAUUUAACAUUGGCUUUUGUCGUGCAUAAGCUAAAUGCCCCUAUAUUUUAAAUAGUUCAUCAAUAUAUUAUCCACAUAUAAUCAAGUAAUGACUAUAUGAUUUGAAGUAUUGUUAAUAUAAACACAUUUGCUUACACUCAUUAAUUUUAAAAUUAUUUGACAAUAUUAUAUGGUCAUCUCGCAUGUCAUUGUUUUGGUGCUUGUUUUAGUCUUUAUAGUGACUUAACAAGUCGGCACACUUUUUUUCCUCCAGGAACCACGAACCCUUCAGGUUGUUCCACGUAAAUUUCUUCCUCUAAAUCUCAAUUUAAGAAGGUUGUCUUCACAUCCAUUUGAUAGAUUUCAAGAUCAUAUAUUGUAGCCAAUGCUAAUAACACCCAUAUGUACGUAAUACUCGUAACCGACGAGUAUGUGUUAAAAUAGUCAAGGCCUUUCCGUUGUCAAUAUCCGUUGACAAUAAUUCUUGCCUUAUACAUGUCAAUAAUGCACUCAUCUUUUAUUUUCAUCUUGAAAAUCCAUUUGGAACCUAAUGGUUCGUUCCCUAGAGUAAGAUCAAAUAACUCCCAAGUAUGGUUAUUUAAUAUGGAUUCUAUCUCACUAUUGACUGAUUCUUUUCGAGGAAGACAUAACUUCUUUCAAAGUUUGAAGCUCAUUUUCCCACAAGAAUGUCAAAAAAAUCUAAUCCAAUGGAUGUAGUUAUCCUUUGACGUUUACUAGGUCUUAGAUUCACCUCAUUAGGUGUACUUUCCUUCGCUUCUUUUCGAGGCCACUUAGAUAUUUCACUAGACGACCCACAUUCCUUUUUAUACCGAUAAAUAUUCUCAAAGAAUUCAAUAUUAUCUGAUUUAAUUACCGUAUUAAUAUGAAUGUAAGGAUUUUCUGAUUUAUGAACUAGAAAAUGAUAUGCCUUACUAUUUAUAGCAUAUCCUAUGAAAACGCAAUCAAUAAUUUUCGGUUUGAUCUUUACCCUUUUGGGUGAGGAACUUGCACUUUAGCUAAGCACCCCCACACUUUAAAAUAUUUAAGUUCGGCUUCCNNNNNNNNNNNNNNNNNNNNNNNNNNNNNNNNNNNNNNNNNNNNNNNNNNNNNNNNNNNNNNNNNNNNNNNNNNNNNNNNNNNNNNNNNNNNNNNNNNNNNNNNNNNNNNNNNNNNNNNNNNNNNNNNNNNNNNNNNNNNNNNNNNNNNNNNNNNNNNNNNNNNNNNNNNNNNNNNNNNNNNNNNNNNNNNNNNNNNNNNNNNNNNNNNNNNNNNNNNNNNNNNNNNNNNNNNNNNNNNNNNNNNNNNNNNNNNNNNNNNNNNNNNNNNNNNNNNNNNNNNNNNNNNNNNNNNNNNNNNNNNNNNNNNNNNNNNNNNNNNNNNNNNNNNNNNNNNNNNNNNNNNNNNNNNNNNNNNNNNNNNNNNNNNNNNNNNNNNNNNNNNNNNNNNNNNNNNNNNNNNNNNNNNNNNNNNNNNNNNNNNNNNNNNNNNNNNNNNNNNNNNNNNNNNNNNNNNNNNNNNNNNNNNNNNNNNNNNNNNNNNNNNNNNNNNNNNNNNNNNNNNNNNNNNNNNNNNNNNNNNNNNNNNNNNNNNNNNNNNNNNNNNNNNNNNNNNNNNNNNNNNNNNNNNNNNNNNNNNNNNNNNNNNNNNNNNNNNNNNNNNNNNNNNNNNNNNNNNNNNNNNNNNNNNNNNNNNNNNNNNNNNNNNNNNNNNNNNNNNNNNNNNNNNNNNNNNNNNNNNNNNNNNNNNNNNNNNNNNNNNNNNNNNNNNNNNNNNNNNNNNNNNNNNNNNNNNNNNNNNNNNNNNNNNNNNNNNNNNNNNNNNNNNNNNNNNNNNNNNNNNNNNNNNNNNNNNNNNNNNNNNNNNNNNNNNNNNNNNNNNNNNNNNNNNNNNNNNNNNNNNNNNNNNNNNNNNNNNNNNNNNNNNNNNNNNNNNNNNNNNNNNNNNNNNNNNNNNNNNNNNNNNNNNNNNNNNNNNNNNNNNNNNNNNNNNNNNNNNNNNNNNNNNNNNNNNNNNNNNNNNNNNNNNNNNNNNNNNNNNNNNNNNNNNNNNNNNNNNNNNNNNNNNNNNNNNNNNNNNNNNNNNNNNNNNNNNNNNNNNNNNNNNNNNNNNNNNNNNNNNNNNNNNNNNNNNNNNNNNNNNNNNNNNNNNNNNNNNNNNNNNNNNNNNNNNNNNNNNNNNNNNNNNNNNNNNNNNNNNNNNNNNNNNNNNNNNNNNNNNNNNNNNNNNNNNNNNNNNNNNNNNNNNNNNNNNNNNNNNNNNNNNNNNNNNNNNNNNNNNNNNNNNNNNNNNNNNNNNNNNNNNNNNNNNNNNNNNNNNNNNNNNNNNNNNNNNNNNNNNNNNNNNNNNNNNNNNNNNNNNNNNNNNNNNNNNNNNNNNNNNNNNNNNNNNNNUUCCAUUCAAUUUUUCAUAUAGAAUAGAUUGCGUCUUGCUACGGGGAAAUCGACUGAGUAUUCGAUUAUCUAUAAGAAUGACUUUCCCCCUACAAGUUCUAGGGUAAAUCAGAACUUAUCAACAAGGUAUUCAUCAUCUCGUUUAACGUUUUAUUUUUUCUUUAUGCAAUUUCAUUGGAUUUCGGUGACUGAGGGGGUGUCGUUUGAUAAAUAAUACCAUAUUCCAAACAUAUUUCUUCAAAAGGUAAUUCACAUUCACCGCCACUACUACUUUGUAGAGUCAACCACAUGAAUUGUUGUUUGUAUCACGACAAAGCCAUAAUUAAUAAACGGUAAAGUUUUUAAUCUUCAAACCGAAUAAUAUCUGACCCAGUUAGAUUUAGAAAAUGGUGAAGUUUUUAAUUUUCAAACCGUGUAAUAUAUGAUACAACCAAAUUUAAUAAACGGUGAAUAUUAUUUUUUAAUCUUCAAAUCGAGUAAUAAUUUGAAGUAGAAAAUCACUAAGAUUUUAAUUUCCAAAAUGAGUAGAAAGUCACUAAGACAUUAAUCUCAAUGAAUGCGCAGAAAAUCACGCAGAUUUUAAUCUCUAAACAAGAGUAAAAAAUCACGAAGAUUUUAGUCUCCUAAACCAGAGGUAUAAAAUCACAAAAAUUUAAUCUUCCUUUCUAACUAAACCAUUGUAAUCCAUACACACUUUAACAGUUUGACAUAUUUAUCUUAUCAAACUAACAUAUGUAUAGCACAUAAACAACUACUAAAUUAAAAGCAAUUAAUAUAAUUUUCUGCAGAAAAAUUUAGACUGCCGCAAAUAUAUACUCUCACAUAUAUAAACCAUGGUGAGAAUAAAGUUAACAAAGAAAACUUUAUACGAAUUUUUAAUUUCAGUUUUUCUUUUGUAACAGAUAUAAAAAAGAAAACUAUUCUAAGCAUAAUUUUUGUAACAUAUAGAAAUCUGCGGAUAUUUGUAAAUAAAGAAUUUAUGACAAUACGAUUUCCCAAAACCUUUUAUCCAAAUGUUACAACUUUUCGAACCGUAAACGUUUGAUCCCUUUAGAAGGUUGUCCCGAAUACUUUAGCAUUCAUACAAAUGUGGGUUUUCUAUCUAUAUUCCAGUGUUGGAUAACCAAAGCCACAUUAAUAUUAUAAUUCUGGUUCAACUUUGGACCAAGAAUCUAUAAUUAAAUUCUUAUGUGAAUUGUAUUAUAAAGCGCAAGAUCCCACAUUUGUACUUUAAUGUGUCGAUGUCUUUUGUGAGAAGACUUCUCUCCACCACAUGACAAAGUUCCCAUGAAAUAUCAAAAGAGUCCUAUUUAUAUAAGGACAUAAUUACUUUUGGAAUAUCAUUCCUUCAAUGCCACUUAUCAGUGCAACCACAUUUUCCCCCUUUUUUCUUAAUCAGUUGAUCACAUGAUUUUUAAUCAAACUGAGACAAAGAAAUCAAGCAACAAAAUAAUGACUAAAGGCAACAUGCCAUCGUCUUUUCUGGAUUUGCCGAUUGUGAUAUGACUUUCGUCAAAAGACCAUCAGUAACGUAGCCUCGAUUACCAGUGAUGCACUAAGUGUCUUUCGAAGAUUAAACAUUCUUAUCUUCUUCCUAUCACAUUAAAUUCCUUAAGAUCGUUAGUAAUCUGUGAUCAAAACUAAAAAAUCAGAGAAGUAAAGAAAUGUUAGUUCAAUAAAAUAAAACAUAAAAUAAUUUCUGAGCCCACAAGUUGCUUGUGUGUCCUUAAGGAAUUUAAUCCCCUCAUUGUUGCCCAAGGUUAUGGAUGACUUCCUCCUAGAAUAGAACGGAAAAANNNNNNNNNNNNNNNNNNNNNNNNNUUAUUCUGUAAUACUGACAAUCAAAAUUGUAGGGAAAUAGCACCGGGAAAAUAACAAUAAUAAUGCAAUAAUACUUGUUAGCAAAUAUAGAUACACGGAUUGACUUGAGUCGUAUUGGGCACUAUCCUAAGAAACUAUUUUAGCAAUGUAAAAUAUUUUCUCAGGAUUAAACAAGCCUACCUCUAUUUACUUAGAGGAUACAAGAAUCAGAAAAAUUAAAUGAUAAAUCCAGCAGGUUCAGAAAAUUGGAGAGAGUAACUAAUAAUAAUAGGUAAUGAUUGUAGGAAGGAAGUCAUGACUAACAAGAUGAAUUCUCGGUUGAGAAUUGAGUAAGAAUGAUAGGUAAUCCACAACCUAUUUAUAGGCAAUUAGAGAGGUUGCAUGUAUGACAAGUGUGGAAAGUCUUUUAACACUUUUCCAAAUAUAUUAGUCCAAUUGGCUUCAACAUUAACAAGUGUACCUAGUCUUCCAUGCAUGAAGACAUAUGGUAGAUUUGCAUAGCCACUUGUCAAAGCCCUUCAACGCAUAUUCUCACUAGACGACUUAGAUAUUUCACUAGACGAGGCCACUUAGAUAUUUCACUAGACGACCCACAUUCCUUUUUAUACCGAUAAAUAUUCUCAAAGAAUUCAAUAUUAUCUGAUUUAAUUACCGUAUUAAUAUGAAUGUAAGGAUUUUCUGAUUUAUGAACUAGAAAAUGAUAUGCCUUACUAUUUGUAGCAUAUCCUAUGAAAACGCAAUCAAUAAUUUUCGGUUUGAUCUUUACCCUUUUGGGUGAGGAACUUGCACUUUAGCUAAGCACCCCCACACUUUAAAAUAUUUAAGUUCGGCUUUCNNNNNNNNNNNNNNNNNNNNNNNNNNNNNNNNNNNNNNNNNNNNNNNNNNNNNNNNNNNNNNNNNNNNNNNNNNNNNNNNNNNNNNNNNNNNNNNNNNNNNNNNNNNNNNNNNNNNNNNNNNNNNNNNNNNNNNNNNNNNNNNNNNNNNNNNNNNNNNNNNNNNNNNNNNNNNNNNNNNNNNNNNNNNNNNNNNNNNNNNNNNNNNNNNNNNNNNNNNNNNNNNNNNNNNNNNNNNNNNNNNNNNNNNNNNNNNNNNNNNNNNNNNNNNNNNNNNNNNNNNNNNNNNNNNNNNNNNNNNNNNNNNNNNNNNNNNNNNNNNNNNNNNNNNNNNNNNNNNNNNNNNNNNNNNNNNNNNNNNNNNNNNNNNNNNNNNNNNNNNNNNNNNNNNNNNNNNNNNNNNNNNNNNNNNNNNNNNNNNNNNNNNNNNNNNNNNNNNNNNNNNNNNNNNNNNNNNNNNNNNNNNNNNNNNNNNNNNNNNNNNNNNNNNNNNNNNNNNNNNNNNNNNNNNNNNNNNNNNNNNNNNNNNNNNNNNNNNNNNNNNNNNNNNNNNNNNNNNNNNNNNNNNNNNNNNNNNNNNNNNNNNNNNNNNNNNNNNNNNNNNNNNNNNNNNNNNNNNNNNNNNNNNNNNNNNNNNNNNNNNNNNNNNNNNNNNNNNNNNNNNNNNNNNNNNNNNNNNNNNNNNNNNNNNNNNNNNNNNNNNNNNNNNNNNNNNNNNNNNNNNNNNNNNNNNNNNNNNNNNNNNNNNNNNNNNNNNNNNNNNNNNNNNNNNNNNNNNNNNNNNNNNNNNNNNNNNNNNNNNNNNNNNNNNNNNNNNNNNNNNNNNNNNNNNNNNNNNNNNNNNNNNNNNNNNNNNNNNNNNNNNNNNNNNNNNNNNNNNNNNNNNNNNNNNNNNNNNNNNNNNNNNNNNNNNNNNNNNNNNNNNNNNNNNNNNNNNNNNNNNNNNNNNNNNNNNNNNNNNNNNNNNNNNNNNNNNNNNNNNNNNNNNNNNNNNNNNNNNNNNNNNNNNNNNNNNNNNNNNNNNNNNNNNNNNNNNNNNNNNNNNNNNNNNNNNNNNNNNNNNNNNNNNNNNNNNNNNNNNNNNNNNNNNNNNNNNNNNNNNNNNNNNNNNNNNNNNNNNNNNNNNNNNNNNNNNNNNNNNNNNNNNNNNNNNNNNNNNNNNNNNNNNNNNNNNNNNNNNNNNNNNNNNNNNNNNNNNNNNNNNNNNNNNNNNNNNNNNNNNNNNNNNNNNNNNNNNNNNNNNNNNNNNNNNNNNNNNNNNNNNNNNNNNNNNNNNNNNNNNNNNNNNNNNNNNNNNNNNNNNNNNNNNNNNNNNNNNNNNNNNNNNNNNNNNNNNNNNNNNNNNNNNNNNNNNNNNNNNNNNNNNNNNNNNNNNNNNNNNNNNNNNNNNNNNNNNNNNNNNNNNNNNNNNNNNNNNNNNNNNNNNNNNNNNNNNNNNNNNNNNNNNNNNNNNNNNNNNNNNNNNNNNNNNNNNNNNNNNNNNNNNNNNNNNNNNNNNNNNNNNNNNNNNNNNNNNNNNNNNNNNNNNNNNNNNNNNNNNNNNNNNNNNNNNNNNNNNNNNNNNNNNNNNNNNNNNNNNNNNNNNNNNNNNNNNNNNNNNNNNNNNNNNNNNNNNNNNNNNNNNNNNNNNNNNNNNNNNNNNNNNNNNNNNNNNNNNNNNNNNNNNNNNNNNNNNNNNNNNNNNNNNNNNNNNNNNNNNNNNNNNNNNNNNNNNNNNNNNNNNNNNNNNNNNNNNNNNNNNNNNNNNNNNNNNNNNNNNNNNNNNNNNNNNNNNNNNNNNNNNNNNNNNNNNNNNNNNNNNNNNNNNNNNNNNNNNNNNNNNNNNNNNNNNNNNNNNNNNNNNNNNNNNNNNNNNNNNNNNNNNNNNNNNNNNNNNNNNNNNNNNNNNNNNNNNNNNNNNNNNNNNNNNNNNNNNNNNNNNNNNNNNNNNNNNNNNNNNNNNNNNNNNNNNNNNNNNNNNNNNNNNNNNNNNNNNNNNNNNNNNNNAAACUAUUCUGUAAUACUGACAAUCAAAAUUGUAGGGAAAUAGCACCGGGAAAAUAACAAUAAUAAUGCAAUAAUACUUGUUAGCAAAUAUAGAUACACGGAUUGACUUGAGUCGUAUUGGGCACUAUCCUAAGAAACUAUUUUAGCAAUGUAAAAUAUUUUCUCAGGAUUAAACAAGCCUACCUCUAUUUACUUAGAGGAUACAAGAAUCAGAAAAAUUAAAUGAUAAAUCCAGCAGGUUCAGAAAAUUGGAGAGAGUAACUAAUAAUAAUAGGUAAUGAUUGUAGGAAGGAAGUCAUGACUAACAAGAUGAAUUCUCGGUUGAGAAUUGAGUAAGAAUGAUGGGUAAUCCACAACCUAUUUAUAGGCAAUUAGAGAGGUUGCAUGUAUGACAAGUGUGGAAAGUCUUUUAACACUUGUCCAAAUAUAUUAGUCCAAUUGGCUUCAACAUUAACAAGUGUACCUAGUCUUCCAUGCAUGAAGACAUAUGGUAGAUUUGCAUAGCCUCUUGUCAAAGCCCUUCAACGCUUAGUUUUAAGGCUUCAUGCAAGAAGUCAUUUGGAAAUAGAUAAGACACUUGUUGUAAUGACCCGACUGGUCGUUUUGAGAUCCAGCGCGUCGUUCGGCGAUUUAAGGCCUUGAGUAGUUUCACUUCAGGUAUUAUGACUUGUACGCGUAGUCGGAAUUGAGAUUCAGGGAGUUCAGAGUUGAUUUGGAAAGAAAAUUCUAAUUUCGAAAGCCUUAAGUUGGAAGAAUCGACUAAUGUGUGAUUUUUGAGUAAAUGACCUUGGAAUCGAGAUUUGAAGGUUCGUUCGUAUGAUGAUUUUAGACUUGAGCAUAUGUUCGGAUCGGGUUUUGGAUGACCUGGGAGCGUUUCGGCGCCUAUUAUGGAAGUUGGCAUUUUGGAAGAAUUUCAUUAAUUUGAGUUGAAGUGCAUUUCAAUACUAUCGAUGUCCGUUUGGGAUUAUGAGUCUGGGAAUAGGUCCAUAUGGUAAUUUUGGUAUUGGGAACGCGUCCGAAAAUGGAUUCGGAGGUCCGUAGGUCAUUUUGGAGUCAUUUGGCUAAAGCUAGAAAUUUGAAGGUUUUGAGAAGUUUGACCGGAAGUGGACUUUUUGAUAUCGGGGUCGGAAUUCGAUUCCGGAAGUUGGAGUAGGUAUGUAAUGUCAAUUAUGACUUGUGUGCAAAUUUUGAGGACAAUCGGACGUGAUUUGGUAGGUUUCAGCAUCGAUUGUAGAAGUUGAAAUUUCAAAGUUCAUUAAGUUUGAAUUGGGGUGCGAUUCUUGAUUUCGAUAUUGUUUGAUAUAAUUUGAAGGCUCGACUAAGUUCGUAAUAUGUUUUGGGACUUGUUGGUAUAAUUGGUUGAGGUCCCGGAGGCCUCGGGUGAUUUUGGGUGGUUAACGGAUCAAAUUUGAAUUUGAAGAAGAGCUGAAGCAGCUGGGUAUCUGGUGUAGCCGCACCUGUGUGAAGAGGGACGCAGGUGCGAGCCCACAGGUGCGGGAGAUGGCUCGCAGAAGCAGAAGGAGCCAAGGCUGUUGAGAACCGUAGAAGCGGAAGGAAUUUGCGCACCUGCGAUGGCGCAUGUGCGAUGUCAGUAGCCGCAAAAGCGGCAAGGGCCGCAGAUACAGAUGGAGUUCCGCAGAAGCGGCCUAAGAGCCGCAGGUGCGAAAAUGUCGCUGGACAAAGGGGUUUCUUUAAAAUGGGACUUGGCCCAUUCUUCUCCCAUUUUCAUUUGGUCUGGGCGAUUUUGAAGAGCUUCAAGGGGAGAUUUUCAGCAAGCAGCUCAAGGUAAGUGAUCCCCACUUAUUAUAAGUUAAAUACAUAGUUUGUAUAAAAAUUUAAACAUGGAGAUUUGUAGAAAUUGUGAGAGUUGUUGGUAGAAAACCUAGAAUUUGGUAUUUUAGAUUUUGACCACGAAUUUGGGCAUGGAAUUGGGAAUAAAUCAUACAUUUGAGUUCAUAAGGUUAUGGGUAAUGAUUAUCUUCAAAAAUUUUCGGAAUCCGGGCACGUGGGCCCGAGGGUAAUUUUUUUUUACUUUUCGAACGGAGUUGUGAAUUGUAGUAAAUUGAAUUGUUAUGAGCAUUAGAGUAUAUUUUUAUUGGUUUAUGCAUUGUUUGGUUAGUUUUGGAGCGAUGUGCAUCGGUUUGAGGUGUUAGAGUGGCUUUGGAGCCGGUUAUGAAAUUUCAGAGCAAGGUAAGUCUCCUUUCUAACCUUGUAAGAGGGAAUUAACCCCAUAGGUGAACUAAAUUAUUGUGUGCUUCUAUUUGUGGGGGAUACGUAUGCACGAGGUGACGAGAGUCCGUACGUAGCUAUUAGUUAUGCCUAUGUCCGGAUAGUUUUAGGCUCACAUCAUGCCUUGUUGAUAUUGUUAUUGAUUUAUGUUUAUUGUCUGCCUUGAGAGGGAGCGAUAUUGAGUUUGCUUAUUAAAUGUUUUGAAAGGAGUUGAAAUUAAAGAAUGUAAGAUUUAAAAGGUUUCGUUUGAACUUCAAAAUUUUGAAAAGGAUUGAGUAAUGCUAUAAUAGCUUAAGAAAUCUAUGUGUAACCGCGUCNCANNNNNNNNNNNNNNNNNNNNNNNNNNNNNNNNNNNNNNNNNNNNNNNNNNNNNNNNNNNNNNNNNNNNNNNNNNNNNNNNNNNNNNNNNNNNNNNNNNNNNNNNNNNNNNNNNNNNNNNNNNNNNNNNNNNNNNNNNNNNNNNNNNNNNNNNNNNNNNNNNNNNNNNNNNNNNNNNNNNNNNNNNNNNNNNNNNNNNNNNNNNNNNNNNNNNNNNNNNNNNNNNNNNNNNNNNNNNNNNNNNNNNNNNNNNNNNNNNNNNNNNNNNNNNNNNNNNNNNNNNNNNNNNNNNNNNNNNNNNNNNNNNNNNNNNNNNNNNNNNNNNNNNNNNNNNNNNNNNNNNNNNNNNNNNNNNNNNNNNNNNNNNNNNNNNNNNNNNNNNNNNNNNNNNNNNNNNNNNNNNNNNNNNNNNNNNNNNNNNNNNNNNNNNNNNNNNNNNNNNNNNNNNNNNNNNNNNNNNNNNNNNNNNNNNNNNNNNNNNNNNNNNNNNNNNNNNNNNNNNNNNNNNNNNNNNNNNNNNNNNNNNNNNNNNNNNNNNNNNNNNNNNNNNNNNNNNNNNNNNNNNNNNNNNNNNNNNNNNNNNNNNNNNCCUUCAAAUUUAUAUUUGACCGCGUCGCACGUAUGAUUCGCGAGCGGGGUAUUUCCUUCUACACUCUUAUGGGAUCGGGCCGUUCGCCUCGGCAGGAUUCAUGUACCACACUCUCAUGGGAGUGGGCCGUUCGCCUCGGCAGGUUAAUAGAUGCAUCUAUGGUUCGUGCUGUUCGACCCUCGGCAAUGCACAAUUUACUUUUAUGUUGGAUCGGGUCGUACGCCUCGACAUUUUCCAUAUAUAUAUAUUAUCCUCAUGGAAUCGUGCGUAACGUCUGGCAAGAAGCCAGUGUAUCUGAGGGUUUUUCCCUGAUGUGGAUUAUGACAAACUCUUUGAUGAAAUCCACUAUAUCUAUAUAUAUGCUCCGGUUAGAGAGGGAACUUGCUAGUUGAGAGCCUGAGUAAAUUGUGAAGGGGAAAAUUGUAUUACGUAUUUUAUACUUAUUUGUUUCAUAUAUUUACUCCGUCUCAUAUUCAUUCACUUCUUUACCGUACCUGAUAUUAUUGGACCACUAGUAAGUGUCGAAGUCGACCCCUCGUCACUACUUCUUCGGGGUUAGGCAUGAUACUUACUGGGUACACGUUGAUUUACAUACUCAUACUAUACUUAGUGCAUAUUUUUAUGCAGGUGCAUAUAUGACUAGCAGCCUGGCGGGUGUAGAGGUGUGGUUAAAUGCGGAGACUUAGCUGAGCUGCAUUUUCAUCUACGAUCUGCAGCUAGCAGAGUCCCCUUCAGAGUUACUUAUGUAUUUUCCUGUCUAAUUUGUAUUCUGGACUGGUGUUGUAUUUUAUUUUAUCUUCCUAAUUGAUGCUCAUGCACUUGUGACACCGGAUUUUGGGGUGAUUAUGGGUCAUCUUGUGUUGAAAUUGUUGAAAAUAUUAUUAUUUACUUUGUAAACUCCAUCUUUUUCUAUUUAAUUAAAGAAAAAUAUGAUCUCAAAAAUAACAAAAUGAGAACCUAAUUAAGUAUUUAUUGUUGGCUUGCCUGACAGUGGAGUCCGGCGCCAUCGCGACCUUUAUGGAUUUUGGAUCGUGACACUUGUAAAAUGAAAAGACAGAUGGCUAUUUUAAAAUUUUGAAAAUACUCUCACAGAAAUUACAGAACUUCAGCGAACACAACAAACGGAACAAAUCACACUUGACACUUUAUUUAUUUGGAAAAAUAAUCCAACAAUGUAAAAAAGAGAGGAGAAAUUUUUAGAUUUUUUAUUUUUGAAAAAUGAGGCUAAGUAUCAUGACCUACCACAUCAUCAUGCCACGUAGGUGCCACUUGGCAUAUAUUUUUCCAUAUGGAAAGCUUACACAUGAAAAAGGCUAGAACUUGUAGGAAAGUUCUAGAUAAAUAUAGAGGUUUCCCAAGGAAGACCCUAAAACUCUAUGGAUUUUCUAGGAAAGUCCUUGGAAGAUUCUAGCCAUGUAGAGAAUUAUAGAGAGGGGUCUUACUUGUAAAUAAUAAGAGACUUGUGUAAUAAUUAAUAUUUACACACUAGCCCCUACGAGAUUAGUAUAUAAAAGGGGUCAUUCAUCUGUAAUUCAUCAAGCAAAACAAUCAAGUUCUCUACAAUAAAAAGCUUCAAUUUGGCAAAUUUCUUUUGUCUUUCUUAUUUAACAUUCCCUUAGCAGUCUUGAGCGUAGUAUUUUAGGUUGACUUGGCAUAGCAGGAUCGUGAACAAGUUGUCAAGUGCUGCAUGUGUGCUUAGUUCAAGACUAAGGACGUGACAACGUGGUAUCAGAGCAAAUGUUAUAACUAAAGGUGUCACGAUCCAAUCUCCCUCCGUAAGAUGUCAUGACGACACCUAGUAUCUACAACUGGGUAAGCCUAACAAUUGUGAAAUAAUUGAAAUAAAAGCAGAAUCAACAACUAAUUUUCAUCAGAUAACAAUAUAACAGAAAAAUGCCGCUCGGCAUGUACAAGUAACCAACAGCUCGAGUAUAACAAUAUUUUCAAAACCCGAUAAUCACAAGUCACAAGCUCUAAGAAUUUGUGUUACUGUUUCUAUACAUCAGUAACUAGAAGAAAUAAAGGAGGAACAACAUGAAAGGGAUAGAUGGGGAUUCCGAGGUCUGCGGACGCUGGCAGAUAUACCUUGAAGUCUCUGGAGCUACAACAAGUACGCAACUAAUAGUGGGGCUGGUAAGAGGUACCUGGAUAUGCACACAAAACAUGUGCAGAAGAGUAGCAUGAGUACACCACAACGGUACCCAGUUAGGCUAACAUGAUAACUACACAUGCUGGUAUAACUCAAUUAAGAUGUAACAGGUUACUGCUAAGUAAAAACCGGGUUUUAUAAUAAUUAGCCUAUGUACGCGCUCGUCACCUCGCGUACACAACACUCACAUAUCACAGAAAUAUCACAACAGUACCAAAUCCUAAGGGGAUUUCCCCCACACAAGGUUAGGCAAGCCACUUACCUCGAACCAAGCUCAAUCAAUCAGUAAGAAUGCUUUUUCCACGACUUUUCAACUACGAAAGGCCCAAAUCUAGCCAAAAGCAAUUACAUACCGUAAAUAUAACUAUAAGAAACUAGUCCAAUUUAUGAAAUCAAAACUUUAACAAGAAAUUAGAAAAUCGCCCCAAAAGGUCGACCCGGGUCCAUGUCUCAGAAUCGGGUAAAUAUCACAAAAUACGAACACCCAUUCAACCAUGAGUCCACCCAUACCAAAAUUACUCAAAUCCGAUACCAAAAUCUCAAUCAAAACCCAAAAAUUCGGUUGAAGAACUUUCCAACUCCCCCCCCCCUCCCCAAUUUUCUCAAUCCAAAACCUUAAUUUAAAGAUGAAAUUAACGAUAGAUUAGUGGAAUAUAACCAUAAAUGAGUUAAGAAUCAUUACCCAAUAGCUUCCUCUGAAAAUUCCUCAAAUUUUCGCCUCAAUCUGAGCUCUCAAAGUCCCAAAGUGAAAAUGAGAUCAAACCCUCGAAAUUUUCCCUUUUCUGCCAGUGAUCUCGCAACUGCGGACACACAGUCGCACCUGCGAUGCCGCACCUAUGGAAUUUUCAUCGCAGGUGCGGACUUGAAUUAAUACACCUGGGUCCGCUUCUGCGAUCAAAUGGCCGCACCUGCGACUGCACGCCUGCGGAACUAGCCCGCUUCUGCGGACUCCUCACCAGCUCGUUCUUCGCUUCUGCGAUCACACCUCCGCAUGAGCGGCUCCGCUUCUACGGUCCUUAUAUCGCACCUGCGACCACUCACUACCUAGACUAGGGCCGCAUCUGCGACCUUCCUCUCGCACGUGCGUGUCCACACCUGCGGCCAAUCUCACCGCAGGUGCGAUGACACCAGAAGCUGGAAAGUUUCAACAAUACUCCCAAGUCAAUUUCUAGUCUGCUAACCACCCGGAAUCCACCCGAGACCCCCAGGACCUCAACCAAAUAUACCAACAAGUCCUAAAACACCAUACGAACUUAGUCGAGCCCUCAAAUCAUAUCAAACAACAACAAAAAUACGAAUCGCACCACAAUUCAAGCUUAAUGAACCUUGAAACUUCAAACUUCUACAACCAAUGUCGAAACCUAUCAAUUCACGUUCGAUUGACCUAAAAUUUUGCACAUAAGUCAUAUUAUUACGGACCUACUCCAACUUCCGGAAUCGGAAUCCGACCCCAAUAUCAAAAAGUUCACUUCCGGUCAAACUUCCCAAAAAUUCAACUUUCGCCAUUUCAAGCCUAAUUCAGCUACAGACCUCCAAUUCACAAUACGGACACGCUCCUAAGUCCAAAGUCAUCCAACGGAGCUAACAGAAUUGACGAAACUCCAUUCCGGAGUCGUCUUCACACAGUUCGAACUACGAUCAAAAUCCUAGAACUUAAGCUUAUAUUUUAGGGACUAAGUGUCCCAAAUCACUCCGAAACCAAGAAUAAAACCUCCCAGCUAGUCACAUAAGCAUAAAAUAAUACAGGGAAAACAGUAAAUAGGGGAUCAGGGCUAUUACUCUCAAAAUAAUCGUCCGAGUCGUUACAAAAGGAACAUUAGAAAGAAUACAAGAGAUUAUUAGAAAAAAGCUUUGUAGGAAACCAUGAUCGGGAUUAUCAAGGGCGUGGUACUUGAAAAAGGGACAAAUGUGAAGGUCCCUAAGCAAAAGGAGUAUGGCGGUGUACGGGAUGUACGCGAGGUGGACGACUUACUAUGGAGGAUGGACAAGCACUUUGAGGUAGUCAAGGAGGAUGACGAAUUUGUUAAGGUACACAACGCCUCAAUGUACUUGAUCGAGGUUGCCUUGCUGGGGUGGCGUCGGAAGUGUGCCAACAUGGAAAAAAGGGCCAUGCAAGAUUGGGUCAUGAAAGUAGUUCAAGAAGGAUUUGAAGAGCAAUUCUACUCGAUGAAUGUAGUGUACGAGGCUAGGCGGAAGCUAAGAGAGCUCCGACAAACGGCCAUAAUUCGGGAGUAUGUGCGCGAAUUCACUACCUUAAUUCUGCAAAUCUCAUCGUUGUCCGAGAAGAUUAUUUCUUCUACUUCAUGGAUGUGUUGCAAAAUUGGGCAAAACAGGAGUUAAGAAUACAUCAAGUAGCCAAUGUGGACGAGGCCACCGCAGUAGCCGAGUUGCUCGUUGAAUUCAAGAUGGAGCUUGCCAAGUCCAAAGAAAAAAAUGCUGAGAGGGGUGGGGGAGAUCAUGACAAGGACAAGGGGAAAGUCAUAGCCGAGGUAUACACGGGCAAAGGCAAGGGGCCAUCCCUUAAUGGAUAGAGGUCCAAGAGAAACGGCAAGGGGCCAAAAAACGGUAGCGAGUACGUGCCUAAGGGAGGGUGCUACUUCUGUAAAGGAUCACAUCGGGCAAGUGAAUGCGCAAAGUUGGGAAAACUUGCAACAAUGAUCGGGAAUUUUGCUCAGGCACACAAGGGUGACACAGGAGGGACCUCAUACAUUGGGAGGAUGCGCUUGGAAUCUAAGCCGAAAGUAGGGGAUUCCAAAGCCUAUCUUGGCGCCAUGCAAAUGAAGCAGGGUGGCAGCAAGAAAAGUUGGGCGGACAUAGUUAAAGAGGAUAGAGAGUUACAAAGUGAUGGCACACUAUCGAACUUAGACAAUGCACAAAGCAGAUGGAUCAAGUUUGCUAGCAAGGGUGGGACCACAGAUGGCAGCCAAAUAGAGAGUGGAAGCAUAGACCCGAUGCUUGAGAAGCUGCUAGACUUGGUCGAGUCAUGGGGAGAUUCAGGCCAAGAGCAAGGAGAGGCAUCCGAUGGGCGGAGGAUCGAGGCCAUCAUUGCUAGCCAUCCAAAGUACAAACGGAGCAAGAAGAAAGGUGACCAGUACCUUGUGACAUGGGAAGGCAAACCGCUCCAUAGGAUAUCAUGGCUAAUGGACAAAGAUCUUCGGCGACUCCAAGGCGAGGUAGGUGCGCACGUACGUGUUGAUACUUUGUGCCGAGGGCGGCACAAAAUUAGGUGGGGGAGAGUGUCAUGACCCGGCACAUCAUUAUGCCACGUAGGUACCACUUGGCAUAUAUUUUUGCCAUAUGGAAAGCUUACACAUGAAAGAGGCUAGAAAUUGUAGGAAAGUUCUAGAGAAAUAUAAAGAUUUCCCAAGAAAGACCCUAGAACUCUAUGGAUUUGCUAGGAAAGUCCUUGGAAGAUUCUAGUUAUGUAGAGAAUAAUAGAUAUGGGUCUUACUUGUAAAUAAUAAGGGACUUGUGUAAUAAUUAAUAUUUACACACUAGCCCCUCAGAGAUUAGUAUAUAAAGGGGACCAUUCAUUUGUAAUUCAUCAAGCAAAACAAUCAAGUUCUCUACAAUAAAAAAUUUCAUUUAGCAAAUUUCUCUUAGCUUUCUUAUCUAACAUUCCCUUAGCAGUCUUGAGUGUAGUAUUUUAGGCUGACUUGGCAUAGCAGGAUCGUGAGCAAGUUGUCAAGUGCCGCACGUGUGCUUAGUUCAAGACUAAAGACGUGACAUAAGCCUCUAAAUUUAUAGACAAUGAAAAAGUGAGAUGAAGAGAUGCAAUUUAAAAGAUAUCUCUUCCAUUUCCCAUUCACACUCAUUCGCGAAACCUAACAUGCACUAUAAUGGUGAAAGCAAUUCGAAAAAUAUUUUAACGAAAUUUUCAAUUGAAAAUUAAAAAUAAUGGCUAUAUAUUUGAUGAAUAAAAGUAAAUUCAAAAUUUAAAAUAUUACAAGGAAGAUGACCUAGAUCAACAAAUGAGAGAAGUUAUAUUCCUCUAUUUGUUGAAAAAAUUGUCAACCAAACAUUUAAAAAUAACUUUUUAAUCAAAAAUUUUCGUCAUACUAAACACACCACACGCUUCAAGUUAAAAACGUACUCAUACAUAUACUGUGUUUAACACAAGUAAUAAACGCAUACAUGUGUUUUUCUUACCUACAUCUACUUGCACCGGUUUAUUUACCGGUUUAAUUCUCUUUCUCAAAAUAAAACAUUAAACAAGAUCCCCACUUUCCUUUUCCAGCUUUUGGGGGAGAGAGAGGUCUUGCUGGCAAUUUUACUCUCUUUGCUUUGCUUUUGUCCGCAAGAUCUCCUCUCCUUCUUCUCUCUUUCCUUUGUAAUAAUUAAUAAAACUUCCGCGUUAAUCCCAAAUCCCAAUUCCCUCUACUUGAUCUACUAACACCCUUUUCAUUUCCUUCAAUAAAAACCUCACCUUUCCCCCUUAAAUUCCACUUAUUUGCUCAUUUUCUUGAAGAAUUUCAAGAACUGAGCUUUGUACUCAAUUACCCAGUAAUAGAAACAAAAUGGGUUUUCAUUUAAACCCAAAAUAUAUAUGGAUCCUCUUACUUCUCAUUACUACCCCUCUGAUUUUUGCUCAGGUAGUGUUAAAAUCGGUUCUUUAACAUUUUGGGGGUGCAAAUGAUGUAUGAUGUCCUUUUAAUUUUGAUUUUUUUAAUUGUUUUGGAUUUACUUAGGAUGCUGUGGAUGAAACUGAAAUUGUUGAGUCAGGUGGACGGUUCAAAGAUCUGGGUAGGCGUAGUAAAGUGAGUAUACUUUAGCUUAAUUUGCAAUUUUAUCUGUUUGAUAUUUUGAAAAUUUACUGAAUGUGUGUGAUUUUUAUGCAUUGAAAGGUGUACAUUAUUAGUUUGGUGUGUGAGUGUAUGUGUUUGUCUUUAGUCAUUUACUUUUACUGUUUUACCUUGCUGGCAGCUGCUUAUUAUAGUGCUGCACAGAGGUGGAUCCAGAAUUUAGAGUUAGUGGACUUGGAAUCAGGGGUAGAUGUAGGCUUUAAGAUAUGACUCAAACCCUGUAUAUAUGUAACGAAAUCCACAAAAUAUGUAAAAAUUGAAAUUGAGAACCUAGUUGCUAGCACUUGAGGUCGCGGUUCUAGAAUCCAAAACUUAUAAAGCUCAAAUCUUGGAUCCGCCUUUGCUUGGAAUUCCACUACUGUAACUGUAUUUUUUGAAGCAGUAGGUUCGGCUGAACGCACUGCGUAUAUACUAAGUUCAUUCGACCUUGAUGCUGGAGUAGUAUGUCAUAGGAUUACGCAGAGAGUGGAAUAGAAGAUCUUGUGAUUACUUUUUGCUCAUUUCUCCAUAUCUACUGAAGCUUGGUGUCAAAUACUGAAGUAGAACCUUAAUCGAUGUAAACUUAAAGAGAUAUGAUGCAUACAGAACUAAAGACAUACCCCUAUAAAGACCCUAUAUAUUUACUGAAGUAGAAGUGUAGCGGUGGAAUAUUAGUCUUGCUAUAGAGUACAAUGUCGGAUGGAGCUAAGAUUAGAUGCAAGCAUGUUUACCAGGUGCGGAGAGUGACAUGUUAUAUGCACUGCAUGAGCAUCCAUCAGAGAGAGUAUCAAUUUAGUUUAAUAAGCUUUUGUCUGAGCAGCAGUUUUAUACUCGAAAGUUACUGCGAAUCAGUGAUUUAGUUGUCUGUGUAUCAUCGAGUCAGGUGAAAAAAGAUCUACAAAAACGAUAUAGGCUGGGAGUUAUAUGAUUGAAUGGAUACCUUGGUAUAACUCUGCUGAUAAAUGAUGUGUAGUGGCCCCCUGGGCUUUGGUCUAGUAGUAAGAGCAAAACGCGUGAUGUCUUGAUUAGGCGCACGCCACGAGUUCGAACUCUGCACUUGACAAAAGUCUGGUAUUCACAUGGAGUGGAUAGGGGGGGCGGGCUCAUUAUCCAUCGUGUUUCGAACCGUGCUCCAGCUGACCAGAAAAAAAAUUGAUCCAUAGUGUGUUAAAUAAAGAAUUGAAAGAACUGCAAACAAGAAAUGGUUCCUUCUGUUAUGUAUGAUUUGAGAACUAAUGGGUUACCAAUAACCGAACAUCAAAUUUUAAUGUGACACUAUUUGAGGAGUUUAAUAUGUUUUUGACUUGUGUAUUAUAUAAGCAGCAACUCAAAAAACUAUUAAAACAGUAAUUGGAAAGUUAGAUUUAUUGUAAAAACACCAUAUCCAGUUUUAAUUUAUUUAGAUAAAAUGAAGUUUGAUUUUGAGACUUUUAAAGUUGUAUAAAAUAAUUGAAUGGCGUUACACAUUUUGGUAUUUCUCCAAAUAAUAGGAACAUGUCUUUGAAUGGGGAUUAGGGAAAUAAUACUCAUCGCUAGCUUAUACAAUCUUGCUUGGCAUUUCUACCACACGUGUUUCUAAUUUAGUUUGUUUUUGCAUUUAUUUACUGGGCAGAUUAUUGUUGAGAAACUGAAGUCUGGUGUUGUGAGGGAUGAUGAUCCAGAUUCCGUUGAUCUUGGUCUGGACUUGGACUCUAAUCUUGGCACUCUUGAUGCCUUUUUUGCUAGUUUGUCGAUGAUCCUUGUCAGUGAGGUUAGUAACUAUGCCAGUUUAUUCUUUUACUACUGCUGUAUUUCGUUGCAGUUAAUUUCUGGUUAGUCUGCUUUUCUUCAUGACAAAGGUUGUACACUUAUCAGUUAUUUGUGAUUUUCUGCUUCUCACGAUAUUAGUGAUGAUGACUAUGAGGUUAGCUGUUGAAAAUCUUUUACUUCAAAAUAGCUGGUUGGUGACUUUUAAAUUGAACACUUCUGUUUCUCAAACCAAACUGCAGUUUGGCGAUGAACUAUUCAUUUUGGCUGUGCCGUCGUCAAAACAUUGCCUUACUCUUGUUUAAUAAGUGUUUUAUGGAUGGCUAUGCUGCUAGAUUGGUGAUGAGACAUUUAUAAUAGCAGCUCUGAUGGCAAUGCGUCACCCCAAAUCAAUCGUUUUAUCUGGUGCACUCAGCGCUUUGUUUGUUAUGACUGUAAGUAAUUUGAACUUCCUUCAAUACUUUGUUACUUCACACAUACAUCAUUACUUCUCUCCCCUUCAUUAUGUUAAAUUAUUUCUCCUACAUUUACAGUUCUCACUUUUAGUAUGUGCAAAUAUGUUUAGUACUAACUCUAGGUCUCUUCUUCAUAUAACUAGAUACUUUCUACUGGACUUGGUAGGAUAGUGCCAAAUUUGAUAUCAAGGAAGCAUACAAAUAGUGCAGCUACAGGUUGGUACUUUACAUAUUGCUGUUCUGUAAUUGUCUCGGUUUACUUUAACAAUGUGAUACCUUUCUGUUGAUUUUGGCUCUAUAACUGUCUCUAAGAUCUCGACUUGAAACCUGACAGUAAUUUUUCCGGUGUUCUUAUUCCAGUUUCUUGCCAGAUUUUUGAUUUUUCCUUUGUAGAAAAUUGAAUUAGUGAAUAGCUACUCAUUCUUUCUAUGCAACAUAAUGUAAAUUGUGAUUUCUUAUUGGGUUGCAAUACUACUACGUUUUUUCUGUUUUUUUCUUCUUGACAUGCCUAUUUUCUGCAUAUUUUGUGGGAUAAGACUGAUUCUAUCGUUCCCAUCCUUAUUUCAUUCGAUUAGAUAGUUACAAAGUUCUAUUUUUCCUAUUUUUGUGCAGUUCUUUAUCUCUUUUUUGGGCUUCGGCUUCUCUAUAUUGCAUGGAGAUCAUCAGAUUCAAAGGCUUCGCAGAAAAAGGAAAUAGAGGAAGUAUGUUCCCCUUUCUAUUGUUUUUUUUUUUUUUGAUAAUGGAUGUUCCCCUUUCUAUUGUGAGAUGUUUUAUAUUGCUAUAUGGUCUUUCUUUAAACCUGGAGUACUACUUUUGAUUUUCUCUUAGUCCAGAGUUGCCCGGUAAAUUUGAUCUCUUGGUGAAUAUUAAAUCUUUCAGGUGGAAGAAAAACUUGAAGCUGGACAGAGCAAAGCAGCAGUCAGGCGAUUCUUUUCUAGAUUGUUCACACCCAUAUUUUUGGAGGUAUUUAUCUGCAUUUGAGCUCAAUAUAUGUUCCAUUCAAAGGAAUGUCUGUUAUUUUUUUAAUUUCACUCAAGGGUGUGUCCAAUGGAUAGACCAGAAAAUUGUGAUAAGAGGGAAUCUAAGUAAUCCGAUUUCCUCUUAAUUUCGUAGAGAGUAUUACUUUUUCUUCCAUCAAAUAUGUGGAAUGGAAGUGCUGACAUAUCUUCCUCAAGUUUACUUCAUUUCCCCGUUUCCCUCUUAAAUGACAUGUUCCCACAUUCUAAUUUCUAUCCAAUUUCCCAUUAUUUUGCUUCCUCCAAUUGUGUCACAUGUUGUAUUUUGUUGGUCCGACCAUAUCAGUUUAUUACUUAAUUAAAAUCCUAAAAUCUAUGAAAUUUAUAAAAUAACUAACAUUAAUUUGUUGUCGUCUGUGCAGUCUUUUAUCUUGACCUUUCUCGCAGAGUGGGGAGACCGCAGCCAGAUAGCAACAAUUGCUGUAAGAUAUUCUUAUUUCCUUUUGAUUGGGGCUCACAAAAAGCUGGGUGCUACCUUUGUUUUCACGUGCUCGUUAAUCUCUUGGUUUUCAAGUUGUAGCAAUUUUUUAAAAUAGUUAAUAAGUCAAGAAAUUAUUAGCUUAUAAUAAUAGGAAAGUAAAGAAGAUUACUGGUAAGUAGAAGCUAUAGAGGUAUUCACUGUCUCGAGCAAGAAUAUGGCUAAGCAGAAACAUACAGGGCUUAUUAGCUUAGUAAUAUGUGUCAUUUAAGUUCAAGCGACGUGUUUAAUUGAUUAUGAUCUUCAUUCUGCAGUUAGCUACACAUAAAAAUGCAAUUGGUGUUGCUGUUGGGGCAACAAUAGGACACACUAUAUGUACUUCAGUGGCAGUGGUAGGUGGAAGCAUGCUCGCAUCGAAGAUCUCACAACGAACAGUAGCUACAGUCGGAGGGCUUCUAUUCCUCGGGUUUUCCUUGUCAUCGUAUUUCUAUCCACCUCUAUGAUUUUGGCUUCAUUAAUCGACCUUAAUUCUUCUGGAAUGGCAUUGUUGAAUCCAAUUUUUCGGUUAUUUCAAUAGGCUUAAGAAGGAAAUGAAUUAUUUGUACUACAGGAGUUUUACCUUAUUUUUUUGUGUGUAAAUGCAAGGGUAUGGAACAUGUUUUACAUAAAUCAGAAACAUUGUUGAAAAAUGGGCAGUUGUCUAUGUUUACAUUGUUUUAGAAAGAAGUAUGAAAAAUUGAGAUGACUUCCUACACUAGAGUAUUCUCCUUUAGUGUGCUAUUGCUUUUAACUUCACUAUGAAUACAACAACAAACAAAUAACAAUCCCACAUAGUGGAGUCGGGGCAGGGCAAGUGUACGCAGACCUUACCCCUACCUUGUGAAGGAACUUCACUAUGAAUAUCCCCUAAAAUUUAUUUUCCUGUCAAUUUAUUCCAUCAAAUGCCUAAUGUCUAAGAGCUCCUUUACGAGUUAGAAUAUUGGAAACAAGGGGGGAACUAAUACAAAGUUUGGUUGGCUGCAUAAGAAAAGGUUAUCUUCGCAAAACUAAUUCAGCGUUUGGUUAGCGAGAAUCUGAAGGGGAGCCGAGCCUUGGUGUAAUUGUUAAAGUUGCUGCCUUGUGACCAGGAAGUCACGGGUUCGAACCGUGAAAACAAUCUCUUGCAGAAAUGCAGGGUAAGGCUGUGUACAAUAGACCCUUGUGGUCCAGCCAUUUCCCGAACGCUGCACAUAGCGGAAGCUUAGUGCACCGGGCUGCCUUUUUGGUUAGCGAGAAUCUUGUCUUAUUUUAUACGAGAUAGAAUGCGGAAUACUAGCAAUACAUAGAUAAGGUUAUUUGAGGGAGAAAAGGUCCUAAAAUAGUUACUCAUGAAGCCACCUUCCUACAAAAAUGAGACUAAAUUUAUUGAUCUUUUCUUUGUUCUAAUGAUUAUAUUUCAGACAAUUUGGACUGACUAGCAGUUAGGUAUUCUAUCUUUGUUUCAUAUUAGAAAAGGAAAAUGAAAGACAGAAAAUAUUUAAUGCAAAAUUUCAGCAAAAAGAAUGAACUUUUACUCUAUCUGCCUACUUAUUUUUACUACUUAAUUCUACUUCACUGCAUCUAGGGACCAGAUAAUAUAACCUUUUUGUUAGGUUUGUUAGUUUUUUUCCGUCCCCACAAAUGUAUAGGCAUUUGUCUACCUCAAUGCCUAAACUUGGGUAAAUGUCCACAUCAAAGAACUCAAUCAAGAAAAUUUUGCAAGGACAUGACCUUUUGGAAUGUUUAUUUCUUCAUUAAAAAAAAGUUUGAUUUUGUACUUAGCUAUCUUGGGUGUAACUCUAUGGAUAUAUGCUGGUUUUUAUGUCUUAACUAAAGAGUUGUACUUUGAGGAUGUUCUAAAAUUCUAAGGAUAACUAACAUACCCGGUGAAAUCUCACAAGUGAGGUUUGAAGUCCGUAGUGUAUAUGCAAAUUUUUCCCCAUAUAUAUCUUGUGGGGUAGAGAAGUUUCUGAUAGACCCUCGGCUCAAGACAAACAUAGUCUUGUCUUAAUUAUAAAACCGAAACAUAAGCAUGUUCUAGAAUGCUAGCUAAGUUCAAUUCAUAAAGUUCCCCAUUUAACAUGUAUAAUAUAAAGUUUUGCAGUUAUCGACACUUAUACUAAAGGCAGAUACUUAGUGAAAUAAUCGAGGUGUAUGUCAGUUGACCGGACACCACCAUUAACAAAAAGACAGUGCAAUGUUUACUACAUUUGCAAGUUAUACACAAGUUAUAAUUAAUAUCCACGAGGUACAAAGAAAAUAUCUUAUUCUAUAAAGGAAUAAUUCAAUGCAAGACGUUUGGAUCCAAAGUUAGUUACACUUGAUAUAUUCCUUACACUUAAUAUCCUACAUUUGCUUGUAAUAGACUCCAUAGAGGUGGAGUCCAAUUUAAGUAUAUGAACAUUCCACUAGAAAUGAAAUGAAAGAAAAGGAAAAGAGAACUUUAGAUUAUAUAUGUUUAGUGUCAAUGGGAGAGUACUGUUUGGUAUGAUCUCUCCAACAAAAACAAAUGGUGACUUCUCCUCUAAGUGUAGCAAGUAAAAAGGAGAAGACCCCACCAUGCAUUUAGCCCAUCAUCUUUCUACCACUCAACAGAUAGGAUUUAAGUUAGAUACACUGUUAAUAUAAAAAAUAUAUUAUGCAUUAUUAACCGUCAGAAAUUUCGUUAAGAAUAUUCAAAGGUUGUCUACGGCAACAAUCUCUCUGUGUUCUUGAAGGUAAGAGUAAGGUCUGCGUACACACUACCCUUCCAAGACCCCACUUAUGGGAUUACACUGGAUUUCUUGUUGUUGUUGUUGCGUUCAAAGUUUAAAAUAUGUAUACAAAAAGUAUUUUUUAACCGAUAUACAAAGUAUAAUUUUUACAUAUGCAAUAUAAUUUUUCGAUAAAGGAUAUUUAGUUCAACUUAACACCCUUCACUUUAUGUGACUACGCCACGGACUAUUAGUACAUUUCAAGAACCAGCUGUAACAAAUUAAUUAUUUACUUUAUUUUUAGGUUAUAAUCUCGCUUAUUAUGAAAAAUUAUUUAUAAUUACCUUUUAAAUAACUUGAUAGUGUUAAAAUUUCUUGUGAUAUCAUAUAUAUAGAAGUUAAUUUCUAACAUAUAUAUAAAGAAACAAAAUAAAGACAAAGAAAGAGAUAUGAAGAAUGUACAGUUGGGAUUUCUUCUUUAGUUUACGUUUGAUUUGGAUAUUCUAAGGUUUUUUUAUUUAUCUUUUUUCAGCUAAAUAUUUGUUAUAGACUUUUAAAUACGUACCAUUAUUCUGACUUAAUAACAAAGGCAACUAGCAAACAUUAUAUAACAAACUAUUGUCUUUCACCAACCAUCUUCCUCCUCCAUCAGUUAUAUCUCAACCUCCUACAACUCUAAAGAAGAAAAACAAUACACCCUUUGAUAAGUUUAGUGUUUUUUUUUCUUUACUAGGUUUUUUAGUUUACAACAAUAAUGAGGUAUAGAAUGGAAAGAUUUGUGUUACUUCCAUUUUCUGUGGGUUGCAUCUCUGAAUCAAGUGUUGCAGUUGGUCAUCAUCAUCAGCUUAAUAAAAGUCCAAGUCCUGAACCCAAGUUAACUCUCCCAAGUAUGUCUUAUUUCCUUUUUCUCAGACAUCGUUUAGUGGCGAAAUCAGAAAUUUUAACAGAAUUUUAAAAAAAAAUCAAGAAUGUUAGCUCUAGGAUUUAAACCUGCGAUAUAAAGUAAUUUUUUAACCAUCUUUAUCACUUCACUAAAAGUUUCUUUAUGUCCAAAAAAAAAUUAUUUUUGCCUUAUUUAAAGAAUAUAAUUUUUCGUAAAGGGAUUCAAUUGAACCCGUUCAUUACAUGUAGUUCCGCCACUACACCACCCCACUACUUCUAAAAAAGUAGACCAGUGCACAAGACAUCCCGCGUUCACGACGGAUCGGUCGGGGAAGGUUCACAUCCCAAGAGGUGUGAAGUGGACAGUCAGUACAAGCAUUAGUGGCUGCUUCCGCAUGCCCCGCUACUUCUCUUCCCCUUUUUAAUAAAUUCAUAUGUCAAUUUCUGGUUUAUAUUGGUAUUUAACAUUUGUCAUAAUGCAGGAAGCCAAAAAGAAGGAAAGGAGGAGGAGCAAGAUCAAGAAGAUGAAGAUGACAAAGGUUUGGAGGGUGAAAAUUUGAAGAGUACAUUAGGCCUUAUGGCCCUUCCCAAGUUUCAGAGGCUUUUCAAGAACUUGUCCCAGUUAUUUGGUAAGUUCUCCUUGGAUAUUAGUAUACUCUUCUUUAAAAAAAAACAAAUAUUAGUAUAAUACCUAUGAUGGAAUUGGCUGCCUUCUGUUUAAUGCAUGCACUGUGUUUAAUUUAUUCAUACGAUACUACGUGUUUAUAUCAAAUCAAAUAAUUUAAUCAAGAUGCAAAUUUAAAUGAGAAUACAUAUCACUUAGUUUUUUAAUUAAAAUAUUGUAUAUUGUCAACUUAAUUUGUAGUUAAAAAACGGAAAAAAGAAACAAGAUCUACACAAUCAGCGUGAAAAAAUGUAAAGUUUAUAAUUAAAAAAAAAAAAUCAGUUGGAUUUGCUUAUAACCUUUUCUUUUAACAUAUUAUUCAGCAAAAUAAAAAUGUAUUCUUAAUUUACACUCAAGAUCAUCUAGAUUCUUAAGUCAGCGAAUACAUAUUACUACCAUUAAACAAAUAUUCCUUUGUAGAUUUAAAGAAAAACUAGUCAUUUAAUUUGUGAUAAUGGAUAAAAAACACGUUGAGAUUUUGUACAAAACGAUAUCAGUCUAUUAGCACAACUCAGUUUGUAUGUAGAUUUGGGUGUGGAGUUAUAGAGGUUCUAAGACUUUACUUCUUAUUCUAAAUUAAUGUUUAUUUUUCGUUACUCUCAAAGAUGUUCGCCUAUAUCCAUUUAUUCCAUAUAUAUAUAUACAUAUAAAGAGAGACACACACACAUAUAUUUAAAGAUAUUAUUUACAUAUAUAUAUUUGUGUAUUUUUUCUUCGAAUAUUGUUAGAUGCAUCCAUUUUGAUUUAAGUGUAUACUUAUUUUUUUAUUUUAUUUUUGUGAACCAGUGGACAAGGAAGAAAUGGAAGACGAAGAGGAGGAGAUGGGAAUGGAAAUAGGAUUACCAACAGAUGUGAAGCAUGUAACUCACAUUGGAAUAGAUGGUGAUUCUACUUCUAGCCUUUCAACAAGAAAUUGGGAUCAUCUUAAAUCCCCUAAUGAUAAUUUCCUCACUCAUUUCCCUUCUAAUUUCCCUUUAUCUCCUUUUGCCAUUGCUCAUUCACCUCACUCCCCUAAUCACAUUUCCAUGGCUAGCUCCUCUUAUUAAUUAAUUCAUUAAUUACCGCUUUUCACUCGUCCGCCACUGGAAACACUAUUUUUCGUCCGACUUGUAUGUGUUAAGCAUAUCGCCAGUGUUCAUUCUGAGCCAGGCUCGUUUCCCACUGUCAAAAAAGGAUCAAUUUGAAUGAAGUAAUUCUUAUAUGUUGGAAAAUUUGUGUCAAUGUUACCUUUAAUUGGUUCUUGUCAAAGUAUUGUACUUGGAUGGAUUACUUGCCUAUAGAGUUUGUUGGGUGUGAGAAAAAAGUUAAAUGUAUAUUUGUUUCUUUUUUACUUCAGUAAAAAUAAAUAAGUUCAUUAUUGUUAUUAUUAUUAUUAUUAUUAUUAUUAUUAUUAUUAUUAUUAUUAUUAUUAUUAUUAUUAUUAUUAAUAUUAAUAUUAUAAAUUAUGCACGUUUGGGUAAUGAAUGGUGUAUGCCGAAUUUUUUUAUUAGAUUAUUUUUGACCUGCUGUUUUAUGUCUUCCAAUCCAAAACAAAAUUGGAUUUUGGUUCUUGUCAAAAGUAUUGUACUAUGAUUGCUUUACUUGCCUAUAUAGUUUGUCGGUGUUGGAAAAAACAUUCAAAUGUAUAUAUUCUUUCCUUUUUCUUUCGGAGAAAAUAAAUAAGUUCAUUUAUAUUAUUAUUAUUAUUAUUAUUAUUGUUUGGAUAAUUUCAGUAUUAUGAUGGAAGAAGCCAUCAAAAUAUCGUCAGAAAUCAUAUAUUUUCUAACGAGACUUCAACGAUAAUAAUUUUAUCAAAGUUUAGAUGUUGUUAGAAUUCAGCUCGUCAAAUUGUUUUCCCAAAGAAAUAUUUGAAAAUUAGUGAAUAAUUUUGCGAGAUUUUGGCUCAACUUAGGUUAGGAUCAUUAGACCCUAAUUGACAGUUGAAAAACGUUAUUGGCUAACACGACGUUUUAAAUUGGUUUUGGUGUAUGAAUUGGAUGGUGAGAUCUUGAUAGGUUUGGGUCCUAGAGUCACCUUUAUUAGAAAAUACUUUACCUCCCAAUAUAAAAUUUUCUGAGGCGAAACUAGAUUUAGUCGGGCGCCAAUGCAAAUAUUGAACACCCGGUAAAAACCAAAAAAGAAAAGAAAGAUAUUGAUGGGUUCAAAACCUUACACAUAUUUAGAUGUAGGAUUGUGAAUGCAACUCUAAUCAAGAUGAGAGUUUAUUGUUAUUGAUAGAGAGUGAUGGUUAUCAAAUAUGGAGUAUAUUGUUAAAGGAAAGUGACAAAUUCCAAUCACAAUAAAAAUCAUUUCGGCAAAAUUAUUUAAUGUGGAAAGAAAGAUGUAAUAAUUAGUUGGGACAAUAGGGUAGAAAUAGCAUUCAUUGGUCAUUUUUCAACUUUAUUUUUGAAAAAUAGCUACUGUCCUAAAGUUUUAAAUUUGAUAUACAGUCAGACCUCUCUAUAACAAUAUCCCUAUAUAACAACAUUUCUCUAUAAAAGCCAAGCUUUUUCGAAAUCAAUUUUUAUGUUAUGUUAUAAUAUAUGUUUUCUAUAACAACACUUUGCUAUAACAUUCAAAAAUAUUCGAAACAAAUGAGGUUGUUAUAAAGAGGUUUGACUGUACGCAUAUAUGACGUAGACAUAUUUGAUUGUGAAUAAUAUUCAAAUUAAAUUGGACAUUUUUUUCUUGAAGGAGAACGGUAGCUAUCACCGCCGGAAUAUAAACACGAUAAUUAAACUAAAACAUCACCGACAAAAAAUAUAUUUUGGAAAAUUAUUAAAUAGAGAAUAGAAGAGCUAAAAAGGAACUUUAGGGAGUGACAUUCAAAUGUUUCCUACAAGAACAGAAGAAGGAAACUCUUAAAUUAACAAACGUGAACGAAAAUAAAACACAUAAAUAACAACAUAAGCAAUCAAUGCAAUUAUAACAUCUCAUGUCUAUUACGUAAUUACUUUUAAUGUUAGGAUCGGUAAAUCGGGUAGUGCGGAAUUUAGCAAAACAAUAUUAUAAUGACAAUAACAAAGACAAUGCAAGUUGAUAAUAACGGCAAUUAAAGAAGAUAAAGAAGACACAAAUUUAACGUGGUUCGGUCAAGGUGACCUACGUCCACAAGCGGAGAGGAGCAAUUUCACUAUACCAAUAAGAGUACAAAAGAGAGUAUAAAAUUAGAAUAAAUACUCUAAUUAGUCCCAAAUACCCCAAGAGAAUAACCUCACAAGAUCACUCCAAAGAAAGGGUUCACACAAGUGUUUUCCAACACUCACUCUCUUACAAUAUUCUCUAUAAUGAAAUAAAGGAGGAGAAAGAAAGACAAGAGUGAAAAACUCUUGAAUUGGUGUGUUUACAAAUGGGGAGAAUCUCCUCUAUUUAUAGCAAGAAAUCCUUGGCCUAAUAGUGAAUAUUAUGUUAUGACAAAUGUCAUGAUCCACAAAUUUUGUUAUAGUGGAUAUUAUGUCAUAGUAAAUGUCAUGAAAAUUUGGCCCACUUGAGAAGAAGCCAAAUUAAGGGUCAUAUUACAAAUCUCCACCUUGGCCUAAUUUCGGCUUAUAUAUAGUAAAUUUGCUCUAUCUUCUCCGCAAAAAAUCCCAAUGGGCAAAAUUAUUCUUCAUAAAUGCCAAUCAAGUUCAGGCAAAGCUUGAACUUGGACACUGGAAGAGGUUUCGGGAACAUGUCAGCAGGAUUGUCUCUAGUGUUGAUCUUCUGAACAGAGACUUUUCCUUCAGCAAUGAUUUCUCGGAUGAAAUGAUACUUUAUAUCAAUGUGCUUCGUCUUCUCAUGAUACAUUUGAUCUUUAGUCAAGUGAAUGGCACUUUGGCUAUCACAGUAAAUGGUAAUACCACCUUGGUGUAAACUGAGUUCCGCAAAUAGACCCUUCAACCAUAAAGCUUCUUUGAUCGCCUCGGUCACUAUCAUAUAUUCUGCUUUGGCAGUAGAUAAAGCUACUACAUGUUGUAAUGUAGCUUUCCAACUAAUAGCGCAACCACCGAUGCAAAAUACAUAGCCUGUCAGUGAUCUUCUUUUGUCAAGAUCACCUCCAUAAUCUGAGUCUACAAAACCAACCAAAGUGUUAGUAUUUCUCCCAAACUCCAAACAUGUGUUUGAAGUACCUCGCAAGUAUCUGAGAAUCUAUUUCACAACACGCCAAUGUGUUUUACCAGGGCAAGCUAUAUACCGGCUUACCACGCUCACUGCUUGUGAAAUGUCUGGACGUGUACAAACCAUUGCAUACAUAAUACUGCCGACUGCACUGGAAUAAGAAACCUGUGCCAUGUAUCUCUCUUCUUCCUCUGACUGCGGGGAAUAAGCAGUUGAUAACUUAAAAUGAGCAGCAAGAGGGGUACUAACUGGUUUAGCAUCUUUCAUGCCAAACCUCUCCAAGACUUUCUCCAAGUACUUCUUCUAGGUUAGAAAUAGCCUGUUGGCUUUUCGAUCUCUUUUGAUCUCCAUGCCAAGGAUUUUCUUAGCUGCUCCCAAAUCUUUCAUCUCAAAUUCACUUUUCAGCUGACUUUUCAAAUUGUGAAUUUUUUGUUAAAUCCUUAGUAGCAAUGAGCAUGUCAUCAACAUAUAAUAAUAGAUACACAAAUGAACUAUCGUUUAACUUCCGGAAGUAAACAAAAGUAUCAUACAUGCUCCUCGAAUAACCAUGACCCAACAUAAAGGAAUCAAACCUUUUAUACCAUUGUCUUGGAGACUGCUUUAAUUCGUACAAGGAUUUCUUCAACAAGCAAACAUGAUCUUCUUUUCCUUCACUUUCAAAUCCUUCGGGUUAAUGUAUGUAUAUUUGUUCCUCAAGUUCGCCAUGCAAGAAAGUUGUCUUAAGAUCAAGUUGUUCUAAUUCCAAAUCAUACAUGGCAACGAAGGCAAGCAAGAUACGAAUAGAGCUAUGUUUAACAACAUGUGAGAAAAUAUCAUUAAAAUCAACUCCUUGUUCCUCACUAUAGCCCUUUGCAACUAAUCGUGCCUUAUACCUCGCAUCUUCAACCCCUGGAAUGCCAUCCUUUUUCUUGAAGACCCAUUUGCAACCAACAAUUCUUUUUCUUGAUGGCGGCUUCACAAGAGACCAAGUACCAUUCUUGUGGAGAGACUCAAUUUCUUCAUUCGUUGCAAUUAGCCAUUUGGCUGAGUCAGUACCAGAAACUGCUUCUGAAUAUUUUGAUAGUUUCCCAAUUUCUUCAGUUUUCUGUGCAACUGAAAAAGCAAAUGCAACAUAAUUUCCAAACCUUAAUGGUUGUUUACCUUCUCUUCUUGGUCUAUGUUUGGCUAUAGAAUACACUUCUUCUUCUGAUUCAACUUCAGGAGUCUCAACUUCAGGAAUUUCAGCUUCUGGCUCAACUUCAGGAGUUUCAACUGUAUUUUGCUCCAAAGUUGAUGAGCUUGGCUCAGAAAGAAUGCCAAUCUCAACCUACACCUGCUUCUGUGUACUCUUUCCUUUAUCUGUAUUACAAGAACUAGAAGACUCUUUUCUAGAAUGUAAUCUAGAGGAUUCAUCAAAGGUUACAUCUCUAUUAAUUAUAAAUUUUGGUGUCGUGGGAUCAGGAUACCAUAGUCGGUAUCCUUUCACCCCAGAUGCAUACCCAAGGAAAAUGCACUUUUUAGCCCUUGACUCUAAUUUUCCAUCAUUUACAUACAUGUAUGCAGGGCAACCAAAUAUCUUUAAAUCAGAAUAAUUAGCAGGAGUACCUGACUACAUUUCCUUUGGAGUCUUAAGUUCAAAGGUGCAAAAGGAGCUCGGUUGAUAAUAUAACAAGCUGUAGAGAUAGCUUCUGCCCAAAAGGCGUUUGUCAACCCAGCAUUUGAAAUCAUGCAACGAGCCCUUUCCAAAAGAAUUCUAUUCAUCCUUUCUGCCAUACCAUUUUGCUGUGGUGUCAUUUUCACAGUAUGAUGUCGAGAAAUUCCUUUAUUCUUGCAAAAUUCGUUGAAUUCAUCAUUAUAAAAUUUCAAGCCAUUAUCUGUUCUAAGCCGCUUAACCUGUUUUCCUGUUUGCUUCUCAAUCAAAACUUUCCAUUGUUUGAAAUUUAAGAAAACAUCACUUUUAUUUUUCAAAAAAUAAACCCAAACUUUCCUUGAAUAAUCAUCAAUGAAAGUUAACAUAUACUGGCACCACCUAUUGAUGGGGUAUGUGAAGGACCCCAAAGAUCUGAAUGAAUGUAAUCCAAAGUACCUUUUGUUCUAUGAAUCGCUGGAGAUUUGAAGCUGAUUCUUUUCUGCUUUGCGAACACACAAUGUUCACAGAACUCUAUAUUUUCGGUACUUUGGCCACAUAAGAGACCUCUUUUGCUGAGGUUGGAAAGACCCUUUUCACUCAUAUGCCCCAAUCGCAUAUGCCACAAUUUGGUGAUGUCAGAAUCUGAUUUAUCUGAUAUUGAAACUGCAGAAGCACCCAUAACAGUAGAUCCCAAAAGAGUAUACAACGUACCAGAUCUGGGUGCUUUCAUGAUCACAAGAGCACCAUGAGAAAAUAACUUUGCAGGCAGCAUUGUUGCCCAUCAAGACAACUCCACCUCCAAUAGAUUCAUAUGUGGUAAAUAAAUCCCGAUUGGGACACAUAUGAUAAGAACAACCCGAAUAUAAAAUUCACUGAUUAUUAGAUUUGAAACUAUUAUUAGUUGCUAAAAAAAUAGUUCCCUCAGUCUCAUCAGCAGCUACACUUGCUUCGGCAGUGUCAGUAUUUUUAUGCUCAUUUUUUCUUUUCUGUAUGCUUUUCUUUAUUUUUUAAUUUAAAGCAUUCAGAAAUAAUGUGACAUUCCUUAUGACAAUAUUUGCAAAUGACAUUUCUGUAUCUGGAUUUUGACCUUGAUUUAGGUUUCUCACUACUUGAAUCUUUCUUAUUGGAUCUAUCUCUUAUGAAUAAGCCUUCCCCUUGGUUCCCAUUAGUUUCUCCAGUAAUAUCUCUAUCUAUUUGUUCUUUUAAUUUCAAAAUAGAUUUGAUAUCUUUAUAAGAGAUAUUAUUCUUUCUAUAAAGCAUAAUAUCUCUUAUAUGUUUAAAUGACUGGGGUAAGAAAACAAGCAAUAACACAGCUUGAUCCUCAUCUUUGAUUUCAGCAUCUAUGUUACUUAAAUCCAUAAGAAGAGAAUCAAAAGUAUCAAGGUGUGUAAGUAUAGUUUGGGCUACAGACCUAAAAACUUCAUGUUUCGCAAGUAAAUUCAACUCAGAUUGGAUUGCUUCUUGCCAUUUUGGCCAAUCACGUCUUUGUCGACAUUCUCGAACAGAUUGAGAUUCAAGAUCCUCAUUAUCUUGCAUAAUGCUAGAUGCAACAUUGUAUACAAAGACAUAAUCCACCACUAUAUUCAAUCGAUUCAAAUUUGUCUUAAUAUCGAUUGGAUUUAUUGAUAGUUCCUUAUUUUCUUGAGUCUCAGGCUCAUCGAUAUCCUCAUGAAUCUCAAGACUGGUUAAAUCAUGGGUUUCUUUAUGAGACUCUUUCGUAGUGUCAUCUUGAUCAUUUAUUUUUCCUUUUCUAGGAUUUCAAUCCUUAGAACCCAAUGGUCUGCCACGCUUUAGGCGUGCUAUUGACUCAUUAGGUAUGACACUAGAAGAUUGUCCAACAGGUACAUCAAUACGGAUUGGAAUAUUCUCUGCAGGAAUAUGUGAUUUUGUUAUCCUUUUCAGAUCCGUAAAUACAUCUGGCAUUUGAUUUUCUAUUUUCUGCAAAUAGAUAAUUGUUUGCACCUCCUUUUCACAAUUAUAGACACAUGGAUAAAGAUGAGACAAUGAUGGAUUUUUUCAUGAAAAUUUUCAUUUGAUAUCACCGAUUUCUCCCCCAAAUUUUGGGAAAAAUGCUUCAUCGAAUCGACAAUUCACAAAUCGAGCAGUGAACAAAUCCCCCGUUAAUGUUUUGAGGUAGCGAAUAAUGGAGGGCGAUUCAAACCCAACAUAUAUUCCUAACCUUCUUUGGGGACCCAUCUUGGUGCGAUAUGGUUAUGCUACAGGCACAUAUACAACGCAUCCAAAAAUUCUUAGAUGAGAUAUAUUAGGUUUAUGACCCAAAACUAAUUGCAACGGGGAAUAUUUAUGAUAAUUUAUCGGUAUGAGACGAAUUAACAUUGCUGUAUGCAAAAUGGCAUGACCCCAAACUGAAGUGGGCAACUUGGUUUUCAUGAGUAAUGGUCUUGCUAUCAAUUGCAGACAUUUAAUCAAAGAUUCUGCAAGGCCAUUUUAAGUGUGAACAUGAGUUACAUAAUGUUUCACUUUUAUCCCAAAUUGAUAAGCAAUAAUCAUUAAAUGCUUGGGAUGAAAAGUUUGUGGCAUUAUCAAGUCUAAUAGACUUAAUUGAAUUAUCGAGAAAUUGUGCCCGUAAUCGGAUUAUUUAUGCCAUUAAUUUUGCUAAUGCCAGGUUGCGAGAUAACAAUAGGCAUACAUGAGACCAUCUAUAAGAUGCAUCUAUUAAGGCCAUAAAAUAUCUAAACGACCCACUAUAUGGGUGAAUAGGUUCACAAAUAUCCCUUUUUAUACGUUCCAAAAACACAAGGCACUCAAUCCCAACCUUUGUUGGUGAUGGUCUAAUAAUCAACUUGCCUUGAUAACAAGAAGUGCAAGAAAAUUUAUUAUUUAAAAGAAUCUUUAAAUUCUUUAAUGGAUGCCCAUUUUAGUUUUCUAUAAUUCGUCUCAUCAUAAUUGAUCCAAGAUGUCCCAAUCGAUCAUGCCAAAGUACAAAAGUAUUGGAAUUAGAAACCUUUUGGUUUACGAUAAAAUGUGCCUCAAUUGCACUAAUUCUUGUCCAAUACAUGCUACAAGAUAAAGAUGAGAACUUCUCAAUAACCCUUUUCUGGUCAGAGACAUAAUUGGUAACGAUGAGAUAUUCAAGAUUAUUCUCAUCUAUUGUCUCAAUAUGAAAUCCAUUUCGACAUAUAUCUUUAAAACUCAACAAGUUCCUCUAGGACUUGGAGGAGAACAUCGCAUUCUCUGUGAUAAGUAUUGUUCCCUUAGGCAGAGUUAUAUUAGCUCUUCUAGAGCCUUCAAUUAGAUUACUACUACCAGAAAUUGUAGUAACAUCUACCUUACACAUACUUAAAUGAGAGAAAUAUUUCUUUUCUUUGAAUAUUGUAUGUGUUGUACAUGAAUUAAUUAAGUAAAUAUUUUUACAAUUGAACUUUGAUCCAAGUUUGCUUUGAAAUAUAUUCAUAUUUGCUUCCCAUGGUUUGAUAUACAAACAGAAGUAUAUGAAUAAAUAUUAGUAUUUUCAGAGAAAAAGAAAAAAAAAUAAAGUUAACCAAAUGAUUUAAUAGUGACUUUUAAUGCAAUUUCGAGCAAACUCUGAUUAUGAUACAAAUAAUUCCAUAGCUAUAAAUAAUGCAAUUAUUUUUAGGUUGUUAUAUGAUUUUAAAACAAGAAAAACUUAAGACAUAUUAAUACACACGAAACAAUGAGUGUGCAAAUAAAGGUAAUUAAACACAAAAGUAGACAAUAAACUGUAUAAAUAUUAAAAACAGGACCAACGUUCAUAAGGUAUAUAAUAAACAAAAUGACGAAAUAUUGUAGUUAUAUUAACGAGUUACCAUAAAUAAUAUAUUAUAUAAUAGUUAAGUAACAAAAAUAUUUCUUAAAAUAUGCUAAAUAAAAAAAUGGUCAAAGUUAUACAUGUAACCUCUUAAUUGACAUCCUUCGUGAAGAAAAAUUUAAUGACGCUUUAUUAGAACUCAGAUUACUAGGCUUACAAACCAAUUGCUUGAACAAAGUGCGGCAUUGAUACUGUUGGUACUUUAAAUAAUUAAGUCAUAUUGACAUAAAAAAAUCCAAGGUUUGUUUAGUACUAAUUUCAAUGUUAAGUGAAAUAAUAUAAUAUUAACACAUAAGAAAAGAAGAAUAUUGCUUGGCCACGACCACGACCACGACCACGAAUAGCAUAAUGGGAAUACACUUCAUCCAUGUCGAGCAAUGGUGUAGACCCAAUGGGUCGAUUAUCGUGAUUUCUCAUGGGCAAGUCAUUGUUUCGUUUAGCUACAAGGAGAAGAGAAAUCAAUUCAGAGUACUUCUUGAAACCUUUCUCUCGGUACUGCUGUUGCAGGACCAUAUUGGAGGCAUGAAACAUUGUGAACGUUUUUUCAAGCAUAUCAUAGUCAGUGAUACUAUCUCCACAGAGUUUUAAUUUAGAAGUAAUUCUGAAUAUCACAAAAUUAUAUUCAAAAAUAGACUUAAAGUCUUGGAGCGUUAGAUGAGCCCAAUCAUAUCGUGCUUGUGGAAGUGUGGCCAACUUUAAGUUGUCAUAUCUUUCCUUUAAACUAUUCCACAAAACAAGUGGAUCUUUGACUGUGAGAUAUUCUAUUUUCAACCAUUCAUCAAGGUAAUGGCGUAAGAAAAUCAAGGCCUUAGCACAACCUUGGGUAGAUACUUUAUUUCUAUCUUUAAUGGUGUCUCCAAUACUCAUUGCAUCUAAAUGGAUUUCAGCAUCCAAUACCCAUGUCAUAUAGUUAUUGCUCGAAAUUUCAAGGGCAACGAACUUUCUUUUCAUAAUAUCCGUCAUAAUUAAAAGAGGAGAAAAAUUAUACAUUAGUCUUCUCAAAGAGCUUCUUGAGACGGUAGAGUCCCGUGCUGAUAACGUGUUAUAAAUAUAGCUCAAAGUAACAAUAUAGAACAAGGAAAAAUAAGCUAAGAGAUAUAGAGAGAAAGAGAGGAGAGAUUAUUAUUUUUUGUUCAAUUGUGUGUAUUUUCCUAUCUAUUACAAUGUCUUUAUAUAAGCAUGAAAAGUGAAGAAAAUAUGGCAUUGAAUAUGUCAUUAAACAUAGAAAAUAUAUCAUUGAAUAUAUCACUAAAUAUUUGAGAUGAAGAUCAUGGAGAAAAAGUAGACAUACACCGUAAUUUGAUAUGUCUUAUAACAUUUUAAAAAUUUUCGUUUUUCGUUAUACCCAAUACAAUCUUGAUUUAAAGAGCUUUUAAUUGUUGACUUAGAUUAAAAAAGAAAUCAAGGGUAGCUCUGAAAGCGCAUGCUAGACACGGUCUGCUAACGUGCGCCACUCACCAUGCCUCGCCGGAAACGACAGGUUCCUCCACCCCAACCAAACCUACAACCUAUACCAAAUGUUAAUAAGCCCACUCCUCCAAUGACUAAACCAGAUAGAAUGGUAACACCAGAUUCUGGAAUUCCCCAAAACCUAGCUCCAUUGCAACUGGUCAAUUGGAUUCCUAGAGCAGAGAGAACUGCCGUACCAAUUCAAAUUGAAGUUUCUGAAUCAACAGAAAGCAAAGGUGAAGAGGAAGCAACUGUAAUUGCGAGGAAAUUAACAUUCUCAAAUGAAGCGAGGGAGACGAAGCCAACCAUGGCUGAGGUAUUAAAGGACAAUCGACUAAAACACCAAGGUAUGAAAUUGAAUUACUAUGCUCCAAUCAUGAAGGAUGGUGUAAAGGUUGUGAAAUUGAAAAACAGCAUAGAAAAUGGGAUUGCGGACUGAUUGGGUAUGUAUUAGGGGGAAAUCCCAAUUUCAAAGAUAUGCUAAAGUUUGUCUAUGGGGUAUGGCACUUUGUAGCUACACCUAAGGUUUAUCUGCACGAUGAUGGCUAUUUUAUCUACCGGUUUGAAUCUGAGCAAGACAAAGCCAGUAUCAUGGAGAAUGGCCCCUACACCUACAAUAACAGACCCUUGAUAUUGAAGACAUGGACGCCUGAGUUCCAGAUGAGCAAAGAACCCAUUCGUCUAAUUCCACUGUGGCUCUGCUUUCCUAGACUUCCACUACUGUACUGGACAGAGGAAAACUUAGGAAGAAUUGCAAGCUACCUAGGGAAACCUAUAUGUACAGAUAGACUAGCGGCACAGGAAGACAGGGUGUUCCUUACCAACAGGCUCAAGAAGGCAGUAAAUUACUUGGUUAGUAAGUCCCAAUCUACUUUUAUUGAAGGUAGGAGCAUUCUGGACAAUGUGAUAGUAGCACAUGAACUGGUAAAAGGAUACUCAAGGAAAGGGGUGUCUCCUAGAUGCAUUAUCAAGGUGGACAUUAGAAAAGCUUAUGAUUCAGUUGAAUGGAGAUUCUUGAAAAUGAUAUUACUUGAGUUUGGCAUUCCUUUUAGAAUAGUGAACUUGAUUAUGACUUGUGUCACUACAGUUAGCUAUACACUGCUGAUAAAUAGAGGACUGACUUCAAGGUUUCAAGCAAAGAAGGGACUAAGACAAGGAGAUCCUAUGUCUCCAUAUCUCUUUGUCUUAGCAAUGGAGUACUUAAACAGAUCUCUAAAACAAUUGAGGCAUAACCCAAAUUUUAACUUCCACCCCAAGUGUGCUAAUCGAGAAUUGAUACACAUCUGCUUCGCGGAUGAUCUGUUGAUGUGCUGUAGAGCAGAUAAGAUUUCAAUCCAACUGAUGCUACAAGCUUUCCAACAUUUCUCUGAAGUCGAAGGGCUACAAGCAAAUCUGGAUAAAAGCUCCAUAUACUUGGCAGGAGUAUCACAAGAAUUUAAAGCAUAAGUCACUAAGGAAUGGAAAUUUACUGCGGGUGAAUUACCUUUCAAAUACCUGGGGGUGCCACUUUCUUCUAAAAAGCUAAACAUACAUCAGUAUAUGCCCUUGGUGGACAAAAUUGUUGCAAGGGUCAGAUGUUGGACAACAAAGUUCUUGUCAUACAGUGGGAGAGUGCAACUGAUUAAGAGUGUACUAUUUGAGAUGCAAACUUAUUGGGCUCAGGUCUUCUUGUUGCCAAAAAGAUUCUAACCAUGGUUACUAACAUUUGCAGAACUUUCCUAUGGACAGGAAGUACUGAUCACUCCAGGAAAGCCCUUGUGGCAUGGGAUAAAUUAUGCCUGCCUAGAUCUGCUGGGGGACUCAACAUUAUUGACAUCUUCAAGUGGAAUAAAGCUGCUUUGUGCAAACUCCUAUGGGCAGUAGCAUUGAAAGAGGACAGGUUAUGGAUACAAUGGAUACAUGGUAUCUACAUCAAGACGCAAGAUCUAAUGCAAAUGAAGACACCACAGCAAGCUAGCUGGCUAGUUAAAAAGAUUUUUGAAGCAAGGCAAUGGCUAGCUGAAGCAGGAGAUCCUAUCACAAUGCUAGAAGGAAUGGUUGACAAAGGCAGAUUCAGCAUUAAGAAAGCUUACAGAUCUCUUAUGCCUCAGUAUGAAAAGGUCUCAUGGAAAAGUCUGGUGCUAGCUAAAGGCUUACUACCUAGGCACCAAUUCAUACUAUGGUUAGCUGUCCAAAAAAGACUAUCCACAGUAGACAGACUAAAGAGAUGGAGGGUGCAGGUUUCUCAGAACUGUGUGCUAUGUGAGACUGACUCUAUUGAAGAUCUUGCGCAUCUGUUCUUCUCCUGUCCAUAUUCAAACAACAUGUGGAGGAUCCUAACAAGAUGGGCAGGGAUAAUAAGACCAAUUGGCAACUGGGAUGAAGAGGUAACAUGGUACUCCAGGAAAGUUAACAAUUGCAGACCAAAGGCAGGUAUCCUGGGAUUCUUAUUUGCGGCAACAGUCUACCAGAUCUGGUCAGAAAAAAAUAGACGCAGGUUUACCAACCAGAAACUGGAAAGCAAACAGCUCAUCAGAGAGAUCAUACUACAACUGCAUAUGAAAGGGUAGAAGAUACUCAAGUGGAAGAAAGAGUUAGAACAGUUAAAUAGCUACCCUGUAUAGAUUAAAUGGAAUUAGUGAGUAUAGUUCAAGUGAAAUUAGUGAAUAUAUAGUGAAAUAGCAGCUCCAAUUGUAAUUGAGGAAUGACUCUAUAGUCCAGGCGAGUCAUCUUGUACAUAUUGAGUUACUUGGUUAAAUAAAAUUUUGCAGUUUAACCAAAAAUAUUGUUGACUUAGAUUAUAUCUUCUCAUUCCUCUUUCUCUUCUUUUUUCCUUUUUUUUUCUUUCUUUUUUAGGUGAAAAGUUUUUAUAGGUGAAUGAUAAUGACACGUUUGUUCUUUUCAACUUCUAAUUGGAAAGCAGCACGUGGUAGAAUAACAAUUGUAGGAUAAAAUAAACUAGAAUUAGGUGAUAUUAUCUUUACAGUAGAUAGAUCAACUAUAUAUUUUUUCCAAUUAAUUUUGACCUUGUCUGCUGCUUUCUCCUUGCUCAGAUUGACUAAUUGAGUAAUCACAAAAAAAGAAAAAAGAAAAAAAGAUGAAGCUUAAUGAGACUCAUAAGAUGGUAGCAAAUGAUUUUUGCUGAGAAUUUUUGCCUGGGAUAUAGUAGGGUUAAUUUCACUUAUGGUCAUUCAACUAUCUUUCAAUUUCAUUAAAGUCACUCAACUAUUUUUUGUCACUUAAAAGUAACUAAACUUUAUCAUUGUCACUUAAAAGUUAUUUUGGCUUAAACCCCUACCUUAAAUAUGACAUUGCAUAAAAUUUAAUGAGAAAAAUCCAAAAAUAAAUGUCACAUAAGCUUAAAUGGACCAUACCAACUUUAGAUCCAUUUCUCCCUUAAUGUGAUUUGACCCAUAACCCAAAUGAUUUCAAUUUUAAAACAAAUUCCACAUUAGUUUAAAAUAAUUAUCCUACACUACACAAUUUUUGCCUUUUCUGAUACAUAAUGCCCAUUUAUAAUUAUUUUAUACUAAAAAAUUCUUCUCUUGUUUGUAUGCCCCAUCCGAGUCGUUUUAUUACUCUACUGAAGUUAAAAUACUACUGUAUCCAACUCACAUAACAUAUUUAUAAUUUUCUAGUGAAGUUAAAAUAGUAUUGUAUCCAUCUCACAUAACAUAUGAAUGUAUCAUAAGCAUACAAGAAUAAUAAGGCUAGUGAGAAUAUAUUUUCACAAACUACCAUUCUAUUAAUUUCAAAAUAUUGCUUAUUAAGCAACACCAUCAUACAAAUAACCUGCUUAGUAAGCAACACAUAUAAUUAAAGUGCAUAACAAAAAUUGUCAAUAGACAUGUAAUUAUAGACAACAUUUUGCAAUUGUUUAGACAAACGAAAGAUUAUAUCUGUACGAUCAAAACCCCCCAUAAAAUCACAAGACCUAAUUUUAUGAGGGAUAUGUGUUUUUCCCUCUAUUGAAACCCAUUUAGGUUAUGGGUCAAAUCACAUUAAGGGAGAAAUGAAUUUAGUGGGUAUGACCCAUUUAAGCUUAUGUGGUAUUUAUUUUUGGAUUGUUCUCAUUAAAUUUUAUGACAUAUCAUAUUUAUUAGGAUUUGAGCUAAGAUGACUUUUAAGUAACAAUAAUAAAGUUUAAUUACUUUUAAGUGACAAAAAAUAGUUAUGUGACUUUAGUAAAAUUAAAAGAUAGUUGAAUGGACAUCAGUGAAAUUAAUCAUAUAUAAAAAGGUGUAAUACAAUUUAUCUUGAAUUUAAAUUUUAUGUAUACUUCUCAUUUAGUAAUAGUGCUUUAUCCUCAAUACGAAGCGUUCUAAAAUUCUAAUUUAUUCAAAUCCAAUAUAGGUACAAGAAAGGCAAAAUGUACCGCCCACCCUCAAAAUUGAAAGACUCGAGCUACCGACAAACACAGCCUACCUACAAACUACGUCAUCUAACUUAUUCCUUUCCUUUGAUUUUAUACCUUUUUGAUUGGAUACAAAAAUUUUAAAAUUUAUUUAACCUUCCUAUUGCAAUAACCAUUAGUAAAAAGAAUUCAUUAAAAUAAUAAUCUAAAAGUAGUAAUUUGAUCAAUUUAAAAUACAAGAAAAUUAUUAAUGAAAUUCUAUACAAAUGUAACAAGUAAAUUGAAUUUGUUUGAGACAAUUUUAUGUUUUAGAAAAGAAGAAGUCAUUUACUACUUCCUUUCGGAUCUACUUUUACUGUUUAAAUUAGUGAAGUAUUACCCAAAUGAGAUAUUUAAGGAGACAUAAAUAAUAAUCUAGAUAAAAACUUUUACGAUUAACGUUAUUACUUCUUAUUGUCAAUUUUAAUAUUUCAAUCAAAUAAGUAAUUAUUUAUUUAUGAUAUGAGCUUUAACACUUAAAAUUAUUUUAUACGGAGUAAUUGUUAAUGCUUAUUAGAUACUUUUAACAAGUUAAUCCGAACGAGCUCUAAAUAUAUCUUUCUUAAAAGGACAUAUAAAAUCAUAGAAUUCGGAUCUAUUUGCGCAUCUCAAUUAAUUUAAUUUUAGAAAAAAUGAUAUUGUAUCACCGCUCUUAAAAUAAUAGGCGAAUAUAUAUAUAUAUAUAUAUAUAUAUAUAUAUAUAUAUAUAUAUAUAUAUAUUUUUUUUUUUUUGUAUGUACAUACAUUCGAUACGUUAUAUACAAAAAUUAUAUAAAUUUUAUAUACUUUUUCGACUAACAAAUAUAAAUAAUUUCUGGCGCGGGCUAAAAGUGAAUAAAACCCUUAAUUUUAUUCAACAAGACUUGCAUAAAUGAGAAAAAAAUUAGUAUUUUUUAUAUGUGAUAAUUUGAAUUUGAGAUCUCAUUAUUCUCAAUUCAUUCCAUUGACCACUAGUCAUUUUUGCGUGCCAUUUUAGUUUUAAAUUUUAAAAAGAAGGACUCUUUAUCCAAAUAGUCGAUUAUAUUAUUAUUUACUUUUGCUAGACAUAUAAAUAGAUUAUAUAUUAAUUAUACACAUAUAAUACAUUGGCUACUACUAUUAUUAUUAUAGACUAUAGUGGUAGCCCAUCACAACUCACCAACUUCCCAAUCUUUCUACUUAUUAUAUAUCCUCCUAACCUCACUUCUUCACUUGCCCCUCUGUACCCAAUUAGCAGCAGCUGCUAAAAAAAGCUGCAUUUUUUUUUCAAGAUUCUUGCCAAAUCUUGAGCAUCUUCAUUUUCUUUCUCAAUUUUGCAAGACAGAAAAAUGAAGGUAAUUGAGAAGAUCCAAGAGGCAGCUAAAGAUGAAAACAGGGUAGUAUUUUCCUUUGAAUUUUUCCCACCAAAGACAGAAGAUGGGGUUGAAAAUCUAUUCGAAAGAAUGGAAAGAAUGGUAGCACAUAACCCAUCAUUUUGUGAUAUAACGUGGGGUGCAGGUGGUUCAACAGCAGAUCUAACACUUGAGAUUUCUAAAAGAAUGCAAAAUAUGGUGUGUGUUGAAACUAUGAUGCAUUUAACAUGUACAAAUAUGCCUGUUGAAAAGAUUGAUCAUGCUCUUGAUACUAUUAAGAUUAAUGGUAUUCAAAAUGUUCUUGCUCUUCGUGGUGAUCCUCCUCAUGGUCAAGAUAAGUUUGUUCAAGUUGAAGGUGGUUUUGCUUGUGCCUUGGAUCUGGUAAUUUCUCUACUUAAUUAUUCUUUGAUCUGUGAUCUAGUUGUGUAAUAUGAAUUGUUGAAUUGUAUGAUCUUUUCAUUUAAAAGAUUAAGUUGUUAGACCGAGCAUACUUUUAAUUACGUAAUAGUAUUAUGUUUCAACACGUGUGGACUUGAUUCAUAGCCUGUUUGGCUAAGUUUCUCGGAUCCUUAAAAAAAAUGUUUUUUUUUUCCAAAGUUAGAAGUGUUUGGCAAAGGUUUUAGAAAAAAAAAAAAAAGCUUUCGAGGAGAACCAGAAAAAGUAACUUUUGUUUAAAAGCACUUUGAAAAACACUUUUGAUAAAAAUACGCUUAGAAACACUUUUUAAAAGUUUGACCAAAUACUAAUUACUUCUCAUAAGUGAUUUUCAAAUUAAUUAGCCAUGUUUGGGAGGAUAGGUUUAUGUCCCACUCCUCUUGUACUUUACUUUGAUUAUCAAUAAACAAGUUGGGGGUCAAUGCCAAACCCCCAUCACCACGGGAGGUGAAAGCCCGGGCUGAUGGAUUAAUUUAUAAAUAAAUAAAUAAAUAAAUUAAUUAGCCAAACACCAACUGAUUCUCACGAAAUGAGAAAAUCACUUCUCACAAUAAGCUGAUUUUUGUAGCUUAGCCAAACGGGCUAUUAUGGACCUAACAUAUGAAAAAAUUUAAGUUGUUAGAGUGAGCACACUUUUAAAAAGCAGCCACUAAUGCUUUGUAUUAGGGUAGGCUGUCUACAUCACACCCCUUGGGUGCGGCCCUUCCCUGGACCCUGCGUGAAUGUGGAAUGCUUUGUACACCGGGCUACCCUUUUUCACAUGUAAGCUUGAUUUUUGGACCCAACUCAUUGAAAUAUUCUUUGCUUUUGGGUGGCGAUGAGAUUUCAGCUCAGAACUUAUUGUUUGCUUGUUCUGAUACCAUGUUAAAUUGUGCAACCACCUCAUCGAUGUUGUAGAUAUUGUACUUGUUGAAUUGUGUGAUUAUUUUAUCUAAAAAUUUAAUCGGUUAGAGAUAGCAUUACUUUUAGUCACUUAAAAUAUAUUAUGUCUCGGUACGUCCCUUCACUUGUGGACCUGAUUCAUGGACCCAACACAUCUAAUGAUGUUGGCGAGCAUAAUUUUGCAAACGAAAUGACUUACUAGCCACAACAUAUCAUGAGACAACCUACCAUCACAAAAGAUUUACUUAAUUAUAUGAUAUCUUGGAAAAAAAACUAUGUUGUAUCUCAACACGUCCCUUCACGUGUGUGAGCUUGAUUCUUGGACGCAACUUAUCGAAAGACUUUUUGCUUUUUGGGUGGCAGUGAGAUUUGGUCUGAGGACCUGUUACCUACUCUGAUACCAUGUUAAAUUGUGCAACCACCUCGUCUAAAAGUUUUAAACUUUUGGAAAGAGCACAUUUUUAAUUGCUUAAAGAGUAAUUAUGUUAUGGCUGGUGUAAUAUUUGUGUUAGUAUUAAUUGAUAUUCUUUUUUGUUUUUAGGUGAAGCAUAUUCGUGCCAAGUAUGGGGACUACUUUGGGAUAACUGUUGCUGGUUAUCCAGGUUAGCUACUAAGAUCUUGGGCUUUGAGUUAUUUAUUUGGACAAAUAUGGACCAUGAUUUACUUAUUCCACAUUAGUUUUGAAGCAAAAUGAGUUUUUUUCUGAUGUUUUGUGUGCUGUUACUGACUACUAUUUUGAUUCUUUGUCAGAGGCACAUCCUGAUGUUAUACCUGCUAAUGGAAUAGCUACACAAGAGAUAUAUGAAAAUGACCUUGCCUACCUCAAAAGAAAGGUAGUCUAUUCCCAGCAUUAUAAUUGUCAUCCGAGGAAUAUAAUGAGUUUGUGGUACUUGCGUUAGAUUAUACAUUUGUAUUCUACAGGUUGAUGCUGGAGCUGAUCUUAUUGUAACUCAACUCUUCUAUGAUACUGAUAUUUUCCUCAAAUUUGUCAACGAUUGCCGCCAACUUGGAAUUACUUGCCCCAUCGUCCCGGGUAUCAUGCCCAUUAACAAUUACAAGGGCUUCUUGCGCAUGACUGGAUUUUGCAAGACUAAGGUAUCCCCAUAUUUUGGAGUACAGACUUUACCUCUGUGUUUAUUUUUAUGUUAGCUUGUGGAACGACAUAUUACUUCACUCCUAUUAAAAUGCAUGGUAACCCCAAAAAUAUGGAGAUGUUAUAUUGCCCAAAAGUUCGGUUAGGUACCGUCAAGUUAGUGCUUUUCUUCAAUCUUAAUAGUAUGGUCUCUCAGUGUUGUUAAAGGCUUGCUUGAUGUGCGCUUAAGUUCUAAAGCUCGUGAUACGUAUGUUGUGUGCUUUGCUCACUUAUAGUAGUGUAGGCGGUAAGGUGCUUAGGCAUGUGCCUCAUUGCCCAUGUGCUCUGUCUUUAAGAGAGAAGCUAUAGACAAUAAAUAUCGUUGACAAAAUGAUACAUUAACUGUUAAAAAAACAUUAUGACUAAACUUUUUUUGUGAUUAGGAACAAGAAAUUAGUAAUUUAGAAUAAGAAAACUAGGCACUAAAAAUUUAAACUACAUCUUUCAUCUAAAACAAAAAUUUAAAAGGGUUUUUGAAUUUGAUUGACAUGAUUUUUACUUCAUGUAGUUCGCUUUAUUAUAUUUUUUUAAAUCUCCAAAUAAUUAUUGCUUUUUAUUUAUUGUUAUAUUUUUUGCAUUACACAUAUUUUUAUUUUUUCUUCAUUUGCGCGUUAUUUCACACUCCUAGUUAGAUUUUUGCAUCUUCUUUCCAUCUGUUGCUUUUGCUGUAACACUGUGAGUCGUCUUCCUUAAUUGAAUAUGUUAGUUGAGUUGUUCGUAUUUUGAAUCCGUGUCUAAAUGGUCAUGCUUUCCUUACCUGUUGUUAUGUUUUACGUAAGCGAUGUUGCUGAUUAAGACAAUAAGUUGAUCAUGUUUGAUGCUUGCUUAAAGGCUGAUUAGCAGCUCCUGCUUCAGCUUUGUAGAUACUCAGUUUUCCUUUAUUAUGUUGUAGAUUCCAGAAGAGAUAAUGGCUGCGUUGGAACCUAUUAAGGACAACGAGGAGGCUGUCAAAGCCUACGGAAUUCACCUUGGAACUGAAAUGUGCAAAAAGAUUUUGGCCAGCGGCAUUAAGACUUUGCAUCUUUAUACAUUAAACAUGGAGAAAUCAGCACUAGCCAUUUUGAUGGUUAAUUCUCUUACCUUUUGAACUUUCUACUUUGAGAUUUACGAAGUAGUCACUAUUUCUAGUAUAGGCAAGAAUUCAACUCACAAUUGUGAGAUGUCUUGGAUAUGCAGAAUCUUGGAUUAAUAGAAGAGUCCAAAAUUUCUAGGCCAUUGCCUUGGAGACGUCCUACAAAUGUUUUCCGUGUCAAAGAAGAUGUUCGUCCUAUAUUCUGGUAUGUAGAGAUGUGAAUUAAUGUCAGAAUACACCUUUUACUUUGUGAUGAUAAUCUGAUCUAUCGUCGUCAAUGAUGGUAGGGCAAAUCGUCCAAAGAGCUACAUCUCUAGGACCUUAGGUUGGGAUGAAUAUCCACAUGGUAGAUGGGGCAAUGCUCAAAAUCCAUCAUACGGGGCACUUACCGACUAUCAGGUAAUUGCAACUUGUUCUGUUCGUGUAAGUCUCUCUGGGGAAUGAUUAGUUUAAAUAUUUACUAAUAAACGUCUGAUUAGCAGAAGAUACUAUAGGAUAUCACAUACCUUCUUGAGCAUACCCUGGAGCAAUCUUUCCUUUUUAAAAAAAAAUUAAAUAUAUCUUAUCGUUACAUCACGAAUGACGUUUGGCCCUGGGAAGACGAGACACGAAAUUUUGUUUAUCUUUUACAGUGCUUAUGUUGUUUGAGGCAAAAUCAAAGUUAUUUUAACUUCUAAUAUUGUUUGUGAAAUACUGUGGGAACUACCUAGGUUUAGGCACUUAUAAAAAGAAGGAAACUUGUGGUCUGGGAUGUACACUUGAUUUAUUUUUCUAAGUUUGUUUAAAAGCUGUCUUGUCCUCCUAAAUAACGCUUCCUGUUUUAGUGCUUGCGUAGUUCCUUUCUUCGAAUCAUCAUUCAGCUGGUCAACCACAAUCAAGAUGAUACAAUUAGCUUUUUUGUGCAUUUUUCUGAGUUGUUUUGGUACGUUUGUUAUCUGUAACAUAGCUUCCUUUGGACCUCUACAGUUCAUGCGUGCACGGUCACGUGAUAAGAAGCUGCAAGAGGAAUGGGCUGUGGCUUUGAAUAGUGUGGACGAUAUCUAUGAGGUAUGAUUUAUACUUUUCAUUUCUUGUUAAAACUGAAGACUGGUUUCUAAGUCUUGAUACUUAUAGAAUUUUCACUUCAGAGAUUUAAGGACUACUGUCUUGGGAAGCUGAGGAGCUGCCCUUGGUCUGAAUUAGACGGUCUUCAGCCAGAGACAAAGAUCAUAAACGAAAAGUUGGGUCAUAUCAAUACAAAAGGUUUCCUGACUAUUAACAGCCAACCUGCAGUUAAUGCUGAGAAGUCUGACUCUCCUUCUGUUGGUAAGCACAAUUCCAUCAUUUUUCUUCUUUUACUUUCGAAUGGUUGAACCUAAAAUUAUUAAUCAGAUAGUAGAUAACUAAAAAGUGAUAGGAAAACCUUUCAUACAAGAUUUUAUACAGAAAAUCUAGAGUUUUACACAAAAAUAUGAUUCUCAACAAAAAGCAUUAGUCACUAAUAAGGGCAGCUUGAUGCACGAAGCAUCUCGCGUUUAUGCAGAGUUCGGAAAAGGAGCGCAUCCUAAGGGAGUGUGAUGUAGGCAGCCUACCCUGAUGCAAGCAUCAAUCACUAAUACUAACUGAAAUAUUGUAGGUCCUCCCAAAGUGUACAAAAAAUAAAACAGUUCCGCUAAUAUGCACUGGAAUUCAACAAGGCUUAGUCCUCUCUAGUAUAACUUUGUUCAAUACCCUCAAAUGUCUUAUCCACAGAUACCGUCUUCUAAGAAUUGCAUCUGUUUCACACUUUUCUUUAUAAGUCCUUGUCCAACUCUUAUGGGAACUUGUCAGGAUAAAACCUAUUCAUUGCUUCAUCAACCAGGAAAAGAGACCAAUUAACUUCUACUGAAUGGUCAAAGUUCAAUUUACACUAUUUAAUAAACAAGUCCAUACAUUCUUGAAAUGAGAUUCAACUGUUCCCAUAAUAUCCUUUUUGAGUUGCUAACUAUCUUUAUGUCACUUCCUGCUUAGCGCGUUUAGGAUGCUCUAUCACCUCGUCCCAUAACUACAUGACGAGGGAUUUUGUUAUAGCAGCCUUUUUUUAUCACCUCAUUACUUAUCUACGAGCUGUACAUCCUUUUAGUCAGCCUUCUUUUUAUUGCAAAAACAUUUUGCUUUUUCCAUGACAUGUAUGCUGAUUCUUUAUAACUACAUGACGUGGGAUUUGGUUAUAUAACCUUUUUGUUUACGAGAUUAUUUACUUUUUUUCUGCAGGAUGGGGCGGUCCCGGUGGAUAUGUUUAUCAAAAGGCUUACUUGGAGUUUUUCUGCUCCGGGGAGAAGUUAAACACCCUCGUCGAAAAAUGCAAGGCUUUCCCCUAUCUAACAUACAUGGCUAUAAACAAGGAAGGAAACUGGAUUUCCAACAUCAGCCAAACUGAUGUCAAUGCGGUGACAUGGGGAGCCUUCCCAGCUAAGGAAAUUGUACAACCGACAGUCGUUGAUCCCGCCAGUUUCAUGGUGUGGAAGGAUGAAGCAUUUGAAAUCUGGUCAAGAGGAUGGGCUCAAUUAUACCCAGAGACUGAUCCAUCUAGAAAAUUGCUUGAACAAGUAUGUAUUCUUUCACACUUUGUGUCUCAUGUCUUGAUUUAACAAUUUAUAAUUUUUUCGAAAUGCUAUGGUAUUUGGCCAUGACUUCACUUGCAAAUACUUGAGUCAUUAUUUGCAAGUAGAAAGCCGGUGCACUAAGCUCCCGCUAUGCGCGGGGUCCGGUGAAGAGUCGGACCACAAGGGUCUAUUGUACGUAGUCUUACCCUGUAUUACUGCAAGAGGUUGUUUCCACCGCUUGAACCCGUGACCUCCUGGUUACAUGGCAGCAACUUUACCGAUUAUGCCAAGGUUCCCUUUCAGUAUUUGCAAAUACUAAACUUAAGUAUUUGAAAUGCUAGUAAAGUAUUGAAAAACUAGCUUGAAGAGUAUUUCGAGUGAAAGAAUGGUUUUUCACUCGCAACACUUCAAUUUUUUUUCCCUUUGAGUAUAAAUUUCAUGUCCAAGCAUGUCCAUAUAAACUUUUUCAAUUCAACUUCAAAUACUCAUUUUUUUCGACUUCAACCAAAUAUUGUCCGAACGCUUACUUUACUGAUAAUAUUGCUCUUUCAAUUUGUUUACAGGUUCAAAACAGUUACUACUUGGUCAGCCUUGUCGAUAACGAUUAUAUCAAUGGCGAUUUAUUUUCCAUUUUCAAAGAUAUCUAAAUUAAGCUACAAGACUCAGCUUCUCAUCCUUUAUAGUGCCAUUUAGUCCUAUGAAGUAUUUUAUUGGAAGUCAUUACUAUUAUUGUUGUUCUGUAACAGGAAUAAUUUAAAGGGAUAUCUUUCCCUUCAAUUCUUUUCGUCUGCUUUUUAUAAGAAAAUAUCGCAUUACACGGUCACACCUCUUCUUCUAUGUGCUACUAUUUUUCUAUUAUUCACAAUUUUUUGUUACUACACUAUAUAAUUAAAUAGGGUAUUAUCUCUUUUAGCCCACGUCAGAAAUUAUUUACAUUUAGUAGCUGAAAAAGUGUAUAAAAUAUAUAUAAUUUUUGUAUAUAACAUACAAAAUGUAUAUAUAUAUAUACAAAAAAUAUGUAUUUUUUGGCCAUUAUUUUGAUGGUGGCUAUACAAUGUCAUUUUCCUAAUUAUUAUAAAUGUCAUUUAUCUCUAUUAUAUNUAUAUAUAUAUAGUUAUAUAUAUAUAUAUAUAUAUAUAUCUCAAAUAUAUAUAUUGUAUUUGUAUUUAUUAAUUCAAUUUAUUAUUAUGUCUUAGUAUGUAUGUAAGCAUCUUAUAUUUCAUCCGUCUUUGUGAUACGUAAAUUGCAUUACAACUAGAUCAUAAAAUCAAUAUGAUAUAUAAAUAUAACAGGGGGAGAUACUUGAGCAUUAUUAUACGGUUGUAUGUUGCUUCAAGAUAAGGGCUAAAUUUAUUUUAGUAUAAAGAAUGUUGGUCUAUAUUGAUGUUUAUGUUUUAUAACAUUUAAUAUUUGUUGCAACUGCGCAAGACAAAGGUUAGCAAUCAUAUACAUGCAGAGAAAAAGUUUAUUUGCUUAAAUAUUUUCUCAAACCUAAGUUCACGAGAUUUUCUUACAAUUAUUUUAUAAGAUAACACAAGUUUUUCCUGAAUUAUCAUAUAUUUUUCUUCCAAAAAAAACUUUUUUUUUAUUGUUUUUAGUUUUAUGACCCUAUCUCUUUUUUUUUUUUUAAUUUAUUAUUUUUAUUUUUUAUUUUUUAUUUUACAUAUGAGAGAUUUACUUUUACACGUUAGAGAUCUAUCAAUUACACAUAAGAGAUCUAAAAAUGUUAUUUUUCUAAAUUUUAAAUUGUAAACAGACGUGAUAUACCAAUAGCACAGACACCUCUUUAGUAAUAUGGUAGAAGAGAGGUAAGUAAAUUGAAGAGUUAAAAGAAGAAAAAAGCGAAGUACUGUAAAAUAUGUGCAAACAAUCUUUUGUCGAAGAGUAACAAAAAAGUUUCAAAAAUACUAGAAUGUGACAAGAGUAUAAUAAGAGAUUAAGCUAGCGUUUGGACAUAAAUUUGGUUGAAACUUGAAAAAAAGAGUUUUUGAAAUUGUGUUAGAAAAAUAAUUUUUGAAAGUUGAAGUUGUGUUUGAACAUGCAUUUUAUUUGAAAAAUAAUUGAGAGUGGAAGAAAAAAUUUCACCCAAAAACUGCCAUAAAUAAGUUUUUGGAAACUUGAACAAAAAUUUCAAUAUUUUUUCAAAAAUUGAUCAUGUUCUAUGAACAAACGAUGUUUUCAAAACAAAAAAAAUAUUGUAAAAAUGUACCCAAAAUUUAUGUCCAAACGGGUGCAAAAAUUCAACAACAAACGACAGCACACCCAGUAUAAACUCACAAGUGGGAUCUGAAGAGGGUAGUGUGUAACUGUGUAUGCAGACCUUACCCCUAUUUUGAGAAGGUAGCGAGGUUGUUUCCGAUAAAGAGAUUAAUUUUAUAAAAUCUGAAAUUAUUUUUUUUUUUGGGGAGGGGGGAGUGGUGGGGUGGGGAGGGGAUUAACUAACUCUGGAGCUUCAAUUCAUCAAUUUCUGAAUCACAGAUUUAGGAUUUUAUCUUAGUAAAAAGCAAGUUGAAUCUAUGAUGUGUAUGAAAUACUGAAUUAAAUAUGGUUAAGAAUUGCUAUCACACAUAGUUUUUUUAAAAUUUUUUAUUGGUAGAUGCACAUACUUUUAGCAGUUUAAAAUGAUAGUAUAUAUUGUUCUUGUAUGCAUGUAUUUACACACUUUCUCUUUUAAAGCCGAGUCUCUUGAUAGAAUUCAAAACAUUAUAGUAAUCCUUAAUUUUGAAUAUUUGACAUGCCAAUAAAAAUAUAUAUAAGAAAAUAAAUGAAGAAGCUGGCUAAAUAUACCGUAAAUAAACAAAUAUAGAACAAGGAAAAACUGAGUAAAUUUCAUGGGUGAUCAUUCAGCUUUAUAUUCAUACCCAAAAGUCACUUUUUUUUUGUUACGAAAAAGUCAUUCAGCUUUAUGUUCACUACCGAAAAGUCACUUUUUAUCUUUUAUACACAAAAAUUAUUUUACUUUGCUCUAAUUAUCACAAUAGUCACUUUUGUCAAAUUUUAUAAAACUUUCACCCGGAAAAUCUCUUAUACCUUGACAUUAUAAAUUCUCCCAUUUAUGUAAUACCUUCUAUAUUAUAUACUAUAUAAUAUAUAUUCUCCUAAUUAUUUUACUUAUAACUAAAAUAACUGUAAAUUAUUUUAUUUUUUAUUUUUAUAUUAUUAAAAUGUUUAACAGGAAAUCUGAUAAAAUCAUUUGAGGUAAGACAAGAGCUUUAGACAUUGGGGUGAGUAACUUUUAAUUUUGAAUAAUCUUAGUAAUUAGAACGAGAAAAAGAAUAAAAGAAUAGAGAGGACAAAGAAGAGAGUCAAAAGGCACCCCAGGAAUACAAAGACAAAAAUCUCUAUAUUUCUUAUUUAUAAAUGAACGCAUUAAGAGAACAAAUAAUACAUUCAUUUCAAAACUAAAAUUAUAUUUUACACAAGAAAGAGACCAAAAAAAUAUCUGUUUCACUUGGACUUAAAAACUUGUCCUUCUCCUGCUUAUACUCACUCUUGCUUUUUCUUUGCUCAAACAAUGUACAAUAAAAAAUCACAGUACAAAGUACAAAAUAAUUUUUUUUUAUAAAAAAAAUCACAAGAAUGAAUUAAAUUUAACCAGAUUU